AAAAUUAAGAGUAUGUUGGGCUGAGUAACCGAGGUGGAGUGCUUGACUAUUAUCUCUCUUCGCGUCAAAAGGUUCAAUAUAUUCUUAAGCAAAACUAAAAAAAAAAAGGAAAAAAAAGUAUUAAUAAUAAAACUGAAUUUGGGGACUAAAAGUGGAAACAAAUAGGGUGUCUUGAUAGGUUUGGUAAAUUACCUAAUUUUCAUGAAAUAAUCCAAGUCGAUCUUAAUUUUUGUGUGUUAAUUGGAAUAAUUUUUCAAUAUUACUUAAAGAGAGCUAAGGGUUCUCUUUAUUUUUCAUAUGCAUUUUGACUAAUUUUUAUAAAAAUUUGGAGUGGUACUUCUUUCAUGGCAAUUUCUAAAUUUCACAGUGGACAAGAACCAUACUUGAGGGCAAGCAUGGGCUAAGUAGGGGGAAUUUGAUAGUACUAUAAAAUGACAUAUUUUUAUGUAUUAAUUAUAUGUUUAUUUUGAGUAUGAUCUUACUAAUUUGAGCUAUUUAUGGUCUUUUAUCUUUCAGGGACUAAAUUGGAGGCAAAAGGAAAUUUAAGGGAAAAAUCGCGAAUUUGAAGAAAAAUGGGCCAACAUGCGACAUAGGGAAAAAGGUGGUGCCAAAAAUGCAAGUAUGGACAACAUAAGGGCUAAAGUGCAAAAGAAGAUAUUUUAUAUCACAAGACUCUAUUUUAAUUCCCAUUAUAUUAGGAUAAUUAUUUAGGAUUAUUAUUUAGAUUUAUUUUUAUUUAUCUUUAUUUAUUUGUAUUUAUUUUUUUGGAAUUUAAGUAGGACUAGACUUGGAAUUUAAGUAGGACUAGACUAUCUUUCCUAGUACUAUAAAUAGGGGAUGGAGUAACACAAAUUUCACAUCAUUUUUUUCUGUAAACACUCUCUCCCCAUAAAGUUUAGCCUUUUUGUUCUUUCCAUAUUUUCUUUCAAUAAAAAUUUCAUUCCCAUUAUAUUUAUUUGUUUUCCCCAAAAAUCAUGAGCCACUAAAUCUAUCUAGCCGAAGGUUUUCAAAAUUCCCCAAAAAAGGGUUCAUGAGGCUUAGAAUCCGUACUUAGCCUUUUUGACAAAUAUUCAUCGCUACUCUAUAUUAUGGGGAUGAUGCUUUCGUCCAUGUCCCUUAAAAGGUGAUCUUUUCAAAGUGUGCAAAGGCGACCGCUUUGCAUGUUUUGGGAAGGUUGCACAGUCAGUUCGUUAGCUUACUGCAUCAGAGGUUGGGGAGCCCAAGAGACAAAAUAGCGUGGGAUUCGCCAUUGAGAAUUGAUGAUCUAGCAUAAGAUAAUCUCAUAGAAGCGAUUGUUGGCUAGAGUCAGAUUCCGCUAAAAUUUUAAGUCUAAAUUCUUGGACCUGGUGGUCGUAGGAGUCCUCUUCCACUAUAACUAGCUUAUUUUGUUUGAGAAGGAUCACCUAAAAGUCAAGGAUUGAACCCAAGGCGGAUCGAGACAACUGGAGGCUGGGAUCUCUCUAUAAGAACACAUUUUCCUCAACUUUAUUUAUUUUUAUUAUUUUUAAUUUUUGAAAUCCCAAUCAAAACUUUUAAUUCUUUUUUUAUUUUAUUUUUCCAGAUCAAAACUUUUAAUUUUGUUUUUUUUUAUUUCUUUUCCAGGUACGCAGGUUUUCUUGGGCACGAUUCUGACCAGGAUCCUGAGGAACAAGCAAUUGUGCAAAUCCGGUCCCUGAGGAUUUGACCCUACUUCUCUUAUAUUACUAUUUUUAUUAUUUUAUAGGGAUGGGAUAUUUUUUGUGGUCUUAAUGAUCGCAUCACAUGGGUGCAAAUCCCACUUGUACCAAAACAAAUCCCUAUUACUAUACAUUUUUGCUCCCUAACUUAUUUGAUGCAAUACAAGCUGAUCCAUGUACUAUACAACUAUGUUAGGAUCUAAAGAUCACCUAAAAACUCACCUAAUUUAACCUUCAACAAUACCAUAUCAAAAUGAUAACUUGUAAUACCAAAAAAUCAAGUUCAAAGCAUCAUUUGUAUACACCACAAUAUCACAAACCAUAAAAAACACAUGCAACUAAAAAUCAUCAUAUUGAUAUAUUGUAUUUGUACUUGGGUAUAACUAUAACACCAUAUAGUUCGAUUUUUUCUUGUUUUCCUCCAUGGCAUUCUUCAGUUCCUCGCACCAAAUGUGUCUUUCUUUCAUCAGUCUAAUUUCUUUUUUUUUCAAUUUAACAACCCAAACCCGGCCUAGACAUUACGUUUGGAUUGUGAAGGUUACAUCGUUACACAAAAACAAUGUCACUUAGUUUUUGUAAAAACUCAUUUUUAAUUCUAAGGGAAACAAAGCAGAUUAAAUUAUCGAAAACGUAGUGCUUCUGAAAAUUAUGUGUGUGUUUUGACGAAAACAACGUUUUAUUAACUUUAUUUAAACAAACCCAUAAGCUUGAUCACUUGUAUGGUAUGGCCUCGUAUCAAAUUUCAGAAACUUUGCAAUGGAAAACAUAUUUAGAUUUUUUUUCUUAUAAAACUAUAAUAUCUUAUUAGUUCUACCGUUUUGAUUAGAAUUCUGAUUAUAAAUAGUACGUUUGCAAAAAAAAAUACCAAAUCAAAAUUAAAGUUCUAAAACAAAAUUAAAAGUUCAAAAGUCCGUAAUUUAACCCAAACAUACUUUAAUCCAAAAAGUUUUAACAAAGCUCUAGAAUCGUCGCCCAAUACUAAGUCUGAGGAUCACCUAAAACAAAACAAAACAAACGAGUGAGCUAGAAUGCCAAUGAGUGACUUGGCCCACAUGCAGAAUUUUAUUUAUAGAAUAUCAGAGUAAACCCUAUCCCUAUCCACUAUACACCGUCUUCGUCUAACUAAUCACACCAAUUAGGAGUACAAGAUUCCAUCCAUCCAACCACACCGGUACGUGGCACUAUGGUACUCAUAAAUGUGUAGUUGAGCUGCUAGACUGAAAUUGCGGUUUAACCUCUAAAAUUGUAGUAGAACUACCAUAAUACAAUUCCUCCAUCUUAGCAAAACCCACCCCACUGCAUAUGCAUAAUCAUAUUUACAUACAUACGUAUCAUAUAGGUUGAAUGGCAUGCAUGUCUAAACAUAUAUAGAUAGAGCAUAACAUAACACAUAACUUAUGCAAAUCGAAACUUACUUAACAUGCUUACUCAUGUGUAACAUACUGACUUUUUUGUUUUUUAUUGGCCUAUCAAAAUGCCCAUGGAUUCAAUUUUUGAGUCCUUUAAUUGGCCCAGGUCGUGUGCUCCACACAGCCUUGUAGUGCACAUGGUCUGUUACACGGCCUGCCACACGGCUAUGUGAUGUUAGGCAAUUUCAAAAAUAGACCCUGUUUUAGGGUUUUUUCCAGAUUCAAUCAAAUUUUUUGAGUUAGUAUACACACCUAAUGAUGAUUCUAAUAACCCACACAAAUAUUGCACCCGAAUCCUACAUAUAACAUUAAAACAAAUUGAUUAAAGAAUGUGAAUUGACUCAAUACCAAACUGAAACUUAAUUUUGAUAACACAAUUUGGUAAAAUCAGUCCCUAAACUGAUAUACCAACACUUACUCUGUAAAAACAAUUACUAAACGGUAGUUAGGUCAUCGGUAGGUCACGUAUCUCGCACAUUUCACCUAAGAGAGCCCAAAACAAUUAACAUUGAACGUUAGAAACAUCUAAAACUCCUAACAUCCACAAGUAAUAGACCCAUUUACCCUUACCACUGCAAUAUCUACAUACAUACUUACACUUAGGAAGGAAAUAUGAACACCGCUUAACGCGUAAAGGAUUGGAAAAAAUAAAAACAUAGAGAACAGAUGGAACAAGGGUGAUAGCAAAGAAAAAAAUUGGCACACCAAAAUAGAAGAGAAAAGAAAGAGGAAAAGAAGAAAAAAGAAAGUAACAAAAAUGUAAAGAAGAAAGGAAAAGAAGCGUGUAAAAGGGAAUGGAAAAAAUUUACAGUAAAUAGAGAGAAAAAUUACGGAAACUUUGAUUAUUUUAAAAAAAUAAAAACAAAAUAAAUAAAAAAUAUUUUGAUAAUAUCAUAACCCACCAGUUUAUCUAAAGUUUGAGAUUAACUCAACCACUAACAAAUAGACAAAGAACAAAAAGAAUCUCAUCUUUGCUCACACAGAGGUUCGGACAGAAGGCCUAAAGCAGACAUUCCAUGAACUUAACCACCAGACCAAAUCAGAUCACUUUACAUAUUUUAAGCAAUUUAAAUAUAAGAAAGUUGGGGCAUUACAUUCCAUCUCUAAAAACAAGAUCGAUAAGAGAAAAUAUGUUUCUUUCAGCACCAAAGUUAGCAAAUGGCACAUCCCCUUCAAUUAAAAGAUCUCUCUCAUAUGAUUAAGUUCAUUGUUCCUUAGGUAUCCUAUCUGAUUAGGUAUUCAGCACCAUCUUUGUUUAUUGCCUUUAAAAAAUUGAUCCUGUACGAGCUCGUACCCUGUUGAAGUAAAUAUAGAGUACAAAAAAUGGAUUAAAACCAUAUAUAUUAAAGAAUGAUAUAGAAAUAGAAUUUACUAAUGUAUCCAUGUUAAUAAAAUGUCGAAGUUAUUCAUCCUCGUGGAACAUCCUCAUGUAAUUAGCCCCGAUAUGUUGUAUGCAAUACCUAUGGUAUGUACGAUCCCAAAGGCUUCCAUUUUGAUCAAUUGCAGUGUGUAUGUCAGUCUCUCUAUCAGAAACGAUGCAUAUCUCGGGUUGUAGUACAACAUUUCUUCUCAAGUUAGUAAAGAAAUCUUAGUGCAACAGUAGUUUUGGGACCACAAAUCUGACAAGUAAAAUUUUAUUUUAUUAUUUUAAUGUUUACAGAAUAUUGGUAAGGUCGUAUAAAAAUUUUGUUAAGAAAUUUUGACGUUUGCAUGUUUAAUUAGGUGAAAAUGACUAAAUCAUAAAAAGUGAAAAAGUAAAGUUCUAAUAGUUAAAGAUGUCAAAUAGCUAUGAAAUUUUAAUCUAAUGGGAUUGGAUGGUAAUUAGAACAAUUAAAGUGAUAGUGGAUAUUUAUGGACAAUGUUUUAAUGAAAUUAUUAAAGGUUUUAAAGGUUAAAAUGGUAAUUAGGUAAAUUAAGUUAAAAAACAAAAGAAAAUAAAGCUAUCAUUUUUUAUUUUCUCUAGCCCUAACUGAAAUUAAGAAGGAGAAGACUUCAUGGAUGAAUUGCUUGUUCGGUCAAGCUUGAAUUCCUUGCAUGGUAUGAUUCUAAGUGUCGUUUUUGAUGUUUUUAUGCUUUUGGAGUCGUUGUAGCUUAACCUAGCUAGCUCGGGGACAAAUUUGCAAAAAUUUUUAAAGAUAUAGGGUUUUUCCAUGAAUGGUCUCAAAUGAUUUUUGAUGUUUGAUCGUACAUUAUGAGUCUUUGUGGAUGAAUAAACAAGUUUAGUAAAGUGAUUUUUGAUAAAAAUGUCAUUUAGGGGCUUAUUUGUAAUAGUAAACUUCAUGGUAAAAUUGUGAAAGAAUGGUUUAUAUGGGUUGGUAUGGGUUCUUAAUGGAUUCGGCUAGCAUGAAAUAUGGAUGGAAAUGCUUAGAUUUUAAAUUAUGAGCUUAAGGACUAAAUUGUGAAAAGUUAAAAUGUUAGGGGCAAAAUUGUAGUUAUGCAUAAAUGUGAAUUAUGGAUUGAAUUGAAUGUUAAUAUUGAUUGAAAUACUUAAUUGAAUAUAAUUAUUUAUUUAGAUCAAGAAAAAUCGAGGAAAUGUGAAAAUUACAGAUUAACUCGAUAGCAUUUUUACGCUCUAGUUGUCAAUGUAAGUUCAUAGUAUUUCAAUAUGUAAAUGAAUUUCUACUUGUAUAUUUUUACAUUAUAAUUAUGUAAUUAAAUUCUUAUAGUUAAUUAUUCCCUGAAUUGCACAUAUGUGCCCCUAUUUGUAAUUCGGUACCCCUAAAUUGCACAUACGUGCCCAUGAUUGUACUUCGAUACCCUUGAAUUGAACAUGCGUGCCCUGUUUACACUGUGGUAACUUUGAAUUGAGUAAAAUAUGAGUUUUAUUUCAAUUUUUGUUAAGUUUAAUGAUAUAAAAUGUUCUUACUAAGCUCUAUAAGCUUAUUCAUUUUUUUUUUGGAUUGUUUUGUAGAUCUUUGUUGCUUCUUUCAUGAUUUUUAUGCUCUAUAAGCUCUAUAAACUUCUUUCAUGAUUUCUAUGCUCCAUUUGACUAUUUUACGUGCACAUUCAUAGUUAGAAUAGUAGAUAAAUGUAUAUUUUUAAGUUUUAUUUUGGUAAUUUUUUAUUUUAUUUUCUUAGUCAGUAUAUUAGGCUACAUUCAUUCAUGGUUAUUGUUUCUAUGGGUUUCAUGCUAUUAACCCCACACAAAUUCAUUCUUUAGAUAUCUCCAUUACUUAUUCUCAUAAGGUUAUUUGGCACAUUUACUUUGGCUAUUAUAGUAUAGGUUAAUAUGUAAGCCGCAUGGAAAGUAUUCACUUUAAUUUCCAUUAUAGGUACACCAUGUCAUCUUCACGAGGAAAGAAGGUCGUCGUCCCUCCUUCGAAGAAAAGGAAGGGAGCGUCAUCUUCCUCGGGUGGGCCGCUGUAUAGACUGGGCCACGCUAGAACAAGUCCAACUUGUGGAUGCAAUUCAGGCCCUCCUCAUCACCGAUCCUUGGGGGCUUUUCUUUGAGAUUGUCAAGCCGACAUAUCUCGAACUCACGAUGGAACUCUGCUCAACAUCCCAUCUUCAGACCGUGAUAGCCCGCUUUGAUAACCCAAGAACAAUCCAAUUUUGCCUCGACGGUCUAGUACGCUAGUUGAACGUCCCAGAGUUUGGAACCGCACUGUGUCUUUACACUGAGGAGUUCAUGGAGGAGACUGAACUCCACGCUCUUAAUUACCACAUCUAUCACUCUCCUUCACGGUGUUGGAACGCCCUUACCCCUGGCACUGCCUCCUGCAAUCCUAACUGCUCCAAGGCAUCAGCUCUCCCUCCAUCUCUGAGGUACUUACAUGCCAUUUUGGCUUACACGUUAACAGGAAGGCGAGAGAGCACUGGCGUCGUCAACACUCACGACGCCUACUUUUUAUAGUGUAUGUCACACAGGCACGUCAUAGACCUUGCGUAUUUCAUUGCCCUCGUCAUUCAACAUUAGAUGGAGCGGCAUAGGAAGCGGGUCAUCUCCAUUGGGCCCUAUGUGACGCAGUUGGCUUGGAACUUCGGGCUCUUCAACACAGCAACCCAAUCAUCCUCCCUCACUCUCAUGGGCCAAAUGUCCCCACAGGGCAUCUCGAGCAUGCUAAGUAUGAGGAUGAUCGAGAAACGACGUGGCACCUUCCCUCCUCAGUACUGUCUCGCCCAAUCCACCGAGGAAGAGGACCCCAAGAACAUUACCGAUGAUGUCCCUCCAUGUCACAAGGACCCACCGUCUCGGCCACCACCACCCUCUCAUCCAGUUCAUGCGGCGGCUUCAUACGCUGACAUCUCUGAGCGCCUAACUCGAUUCAAGCAGCAGUAUUUUCAGCACUUCGAUCACAUUGAUGCUACACUACACCAGAUUUGUUAGCACUUCCACAUCUCAUCGCCACUCCCACCUCGCGAACCAUCUAGCGAUGAAGAUGUUUAAAAACUUUUAUUUAUUAUUUUAUGUUUUUACUUUUAUUCUACUUUAAGAGUACUUUUUGUUUUUCUUUAAGCUUAUUUUUAUUAGGUUUUAUAAUUUUUAUUUAACAAUUUUGAAUUUUGGCUAUUUCCUAUCGAGUAAUUAUUCCUCCUUAUAUAUUUUCUAAAAGAGUUCCUGAUUCUAUCACAGUUAUAAAGAGCUCUUAGCUCAUCAUCACAUUGGAACUAAAAACUCCACCGGGAAAGGUUCUCCGCGACUGCCAUGUCCUGCUCGACCAUGACCAUAGCUACCACCAGAUAUAAUAUUCUUUUGGUGUAGAACUUAUGGACUAAUGAACCUUUACCACUACCGGAGUAUCCUCCUCCACCCUCAUGCUAAUUAUUUUCCAAAACUCCAGCUCAAGGAAAUUCAUUCAUCACUGAGGAAGUUUUACUUCUCUCCCUAUCUUAUGUUUAUAUUCUUUUCUAUAUAUCUAUCUUUGAACAUUGAGGACAAUGUACAUCUUAAGUGUGGGGGGUAUUCAUUUCACUAUCAGAAAAAUCCCUGAAUGAUUGCCUUGUUCUCUUGAAAAGAUCUAAUAUCAUGUUUAGGAUAAAUUUUGAUUGAUUUAUAAUUUUUAUUGAUAUAUCUUAAAUUAAAACAUAAGCAUUCAUGCAUUGAUUAUUUAAAAUUUAAGACAUUAGAGAAUUAAGCAUGCUAAGUUGUUGAUUUUUAAGAAUUUAAAAUUUUAAGUUUUUUCCCCAAGUUUAGGUAUUAUCUUGAAUUGGAAUUCACAAAGUUUAAACAUCAAAAAGCCAUAAUUUUUGUGAGAUCUUGAGCCUUUAGAGCAUCUAUUAAUUCUUUCAUGCUCACUUUCAUUAUGAGUGCGUCAGUAUCGAAUUGUUAUUCUAGAACUUGCUUGAUUAUGCAUGCCAAAAUCACACCAUUUGAUUUGAUAUGUCAAAAUGAGAAAGGCACUUAGGUUUAACCCACUCACUCCAUAAAAGCCUACCUUCAUAAUUAACCCUUAGUGAACCCCCUUGAGCCUAACAACUCAUUCAUUAAUUUACCCUUAAUAUUAACCCAUAACUCAUUAUUGUUGAAAUCCCUUAAAUUAAUUUGAUCCCUACUUUUGUCGAGAUUUGAGUUGGAAUAGUUGCUUAGCUAUGUUUUAUUCUAUUUUUUAAUUUGACUUGUUCUGAAAAAAAUACAUGUAUACAUAUUAGCAGUAGCUAAAGAAGUUAAAUUCCAUAUUCUGAGAAAAAGGCCUGUUGUACGCAAUUGAUGACUAGUCAUUUUUCUAGUUAGGAAAUUUUUCAAUUCAAACUUGAUUCAAACCUUUUUCUUUCAGUUUGUGACCACACCCUCUAACCAAAGCCACGUUACAACCCUCUAAAGACCUUUUGAUUGAUGUUUCAUCUCAAUUUAUAGUGGUGGAGAUUUGAUUUUCAUGCAAGCCUAUGGUAAUGACUUUUCAUUAUUGACUAUUGAGUGCUUCACUUAUUGUCCUUAAACACCUCAAGUGAUUUGAGUGAAUCUUUAGUGAGGAUGUGAAACUCUGUGAUAUUUUGAAUCAAAAGUAAUUACUUAGAUAAGGGGAGACACUUAUGUUUUCAUGAUAAAAUGCUCAACUUGGAAUGUUUGAAACUUUGAUGUUCUUUCAGUUGAAUUUUCAAUGUAUGAUUACCAAUGGAUUAUUUUGAGAUAUUAUCGAUAGAAAUUAUAAGUUGAGAAGAAUUUAUUUUCAUUAUGAGUUGAGGAUUUUGCUUGAGGACAAGCAAAUGCUUAAGUCCGGGGGUAUUUGAUAAACCAUAAUUUAUACAUAUUUCUAUCCCAUGCUUAGCACAUUUUAUGGAUAAUUUUUCCUUAAAUUUGAUGAAUUCGAUGCUCCUAAUGCCUUAAUUUCAUAUUUUAUACUUAGGUGAGCAUAGGAGAGUGAAAGGAACGAGAAACGGGCCAAAAAAAGAGAAAAUGGACUAACGUACGAAAUCAACACAACCUGGACCUCCUCACACGGGCAAACCACACGGCGGUGUCAAUUUGGCAGAAUCGAAGCACGACUCACACGGGUGGACCACACGCUGGUGCCUAUUUAACAAGCUUGACCACGGCCUGAAGUAAUCACACACGGGCAUGUCCCUACCGAGCCCAAGUUUAGUCCAAUUCGAAAAAGGCCAAUUUUUAGGGUUCUUAGGCAUUCUAAAGCCUAUAAAGACACCCUAGAGGAGGAGGAAAAAGGACACACAGAGAAGGAAGCAGGGAACUGCUCAAAGAAAGCCGAUUGAUCCAUCUCAGAAUCCGGAUUCAUCACCAAGACUAAAGAUCUCCCCUCAAUUUCCCUUCAGGAGUUUUGGGUUUUUCUUUAUGUUUUGUAUUCAUUAUUCUUCUGAGAUGUUUACCUUUUUAGUUAUGAACUAAAACCCCUAAAUACCUAAGGGGAAUGAAACCUAAGACAAAUCUUGUUAUUAUUAUCUGAAUUGUAUGAUAAAAUUUGACUUGUUCUUAAUUAUGUGUUCUUAAUUCUUGUCUUGAUAUUCUAGGAUAUUGAUUCAAGUUAAGCUCUUAUUCAGAAGAGGAAUAGACCCUAUCAAAGAGUACAUUUGUCAUAAUUAAGCGGAGUUGAUUGUAUGCCUAGAGAUAGGAUCACAAGAUUUUGUCAGAUUAGGGUGAAACCUAAUAAGGGGAUCCAUAGAUCGAGUUAAUGCAACCUUAGGGAGUUAAUUAGAAAGAGAUUUCAAUUAUUCAACCUAGGGUUGACGUUGUUAGUCUCGAGAGCGAUAAUAAUAUAACUUAGGGAUCUCUACGGAUCAAGUCAAAUAAAUAAAUCGUCCAAUUCAGAGUCAAAUAACAAGUGAAGUCUAGGUGGAUUUUUCCUUAGGUAUUGUCUUAAUUCAAUCGUUUUUCCAAAAGUAAUUCCCCAAUUCUAUUUUCUGUGAAUUCUUAGUUUAGUUAAUUAGUUAGUUAAAACAAACCCCAUUAUUCUUAGGCUAGAUAAUAAAAAGACAGUCAUUACUAGUACUUUUAGUUCCUUUAGGUUCGACAAACCGGUCUUGCUAAAGCUAUACUACUGUUCGAUAGGUACACUUGCCUUCAUCAUGAUAAUAGUUAGUUUCAAGAACGAUUCAUUAUAAAUAUUUAAAACCUGUCACGAAUAUCAUGUAUCAAUUCACAAUAAAACAUAGAAAAAUAACACGAAGUAAGCUUCAUAGCUUAGUAAGCUCGUAUGUAAUUAACUUAAUUCAUCGAAAAAGUGUAAAUCAACCAAUUUCACAUUAACUACAAACCUUUCUCAUGUCUUAAAACAUUAUUAAAUACCAUCCCAUUAAAAUUUCUCUAUUUAAUACUCGAAUAGGUUCUGUACAUACCCGUUGAACCAUUCGGAAUAGAAAUUAGAUACUCAAUAGUCUCAUAAGAUAAGUAUAUAUACCAUGGUCCAUAGCCAAAUCAAGGUAACUUAUCCGAAAAAACAAUUAUCAUGGCCCGAAGCCAAAUCAUCCGAUAUGCAUGGCCCGAAGCCAAACUGGUAUAACAGUGCUAAUAUCAUGGCACGAAGCCAACUCAACUUAUCAUCUAAUAACAUGACACUAGUAUCCAAAUAUAUUCCUAAAGCUCAACUGGGAUUUCACACUUUCCGUUUCUAUCAUCGAAUGCAUUCGUAAAGUCGUUUUCACAAUUCGAACAUUAUCUAUAAUCUCAUAAUCACAGUUUAUACAAUAUCAAAUCUUUUAACAUACUUUUAUAAUGAAAUUACCACAUACGAACUUACCUCAUAUUCAGAAUUGACAAAUCGGAUCAACAACUCGAUAACCUUACUUUUCCCCCGAUCUAAUUCUGGAUUCCUCUUUUCUUGAUCUAAAUAUAUUAAAAAUUAACUUAUUAAAUCAACCAUUCAUUCAAUUUAGUCCAUGACAUACAUUUAGGCCUAUUUGUACAUUAGCCUCUAAGCUUUCACAUUUAAUCAAUUUAGUCCCUAUUUCACAAAUAUACAAAAUUCACACAAUUUCAAUAAACUCAAGCUUAGUCGAAUUACCAUAGUCCCCCUAGAAGCCCAUAACUUUCAUUUAUUUUCAAUUUUAACCACUCAAUUUGCACAUUUCACAAUUUAAUCCCUAUUAUGCAUUUUCAUCAAAAAUCACUUUACAAAACAUGAAAAUCUAUCGUCAAAAAUUCAUAUUUCAUCUUCAAACAUCAAAGAACACAUAGAUUAAACAAUGGAAACUCUCAAAGUCUUUUACAGUUUUUAAAUUAAAGGUACGGGCUAGCUAGAUUGAGCUGCAACAAUUACAAAAAUAUAGAAAUCAUCAAAAAUCGAGCUAAAGUGGACUUACAAUUGAAUUAUUAAAUGGCCAAAUAUCACAAGCCCUAAAAUGGUUUUCUUCUUUUCUAUUCAUGGUUGAAUAUGAUGAUAUUAGAUAAUGGUCUCAUUUUUUUUAUUAAUAAUAUUAUUAUUAAUCAAAAACCAAUAUUAACCUUAAAUAAAAACCACCAAAUUUCAUGAUAUUAUGCCCAUAAAUGUUCACUCAAUUUAAUUAUGGUCUAAUUAAACCAUAAGGGCCUCUAUUUUAAUAUUCCAUAGCUAUUUAACACCUUUAACAAAUAGAACAACACUUUUACAUUUUACGCGAUUUAGUCAUUUUUCUCAAAUUGACUAUUCAAAUGAUAAAAUUAACUCACAAAAUUUUCACAUAUAUCAAAUAACAUGUUGUAAAUACCAAAAAUAAUAUUCAAAUAAUUUUCCAACAUUGGAUUUGUGGUUCUGAAAUCACUGUUUCGAUUUGACCAAAAACAGGCUGUUAUAGUUCUUGUGUCCCUUAGGGUAGUGGCAUGUAUAUGUGGCUAUGUGGUUUGUUUUGGUACAAUAUGACAAUAUACUAAACUAAGUUGCUAGUUACUUUAUUAAUAUUGUAAAUAGGUAUCUUUUUGGUACAAUUAGUAUGGUAUGAAAUUAAACACUUGUGAUUUGUUCUGGCUCGUGAGUGAAUUAAGUGAUAUGCUAGAAAUGGAUCAAUGUUUACAUGUUUUAGUUGUUAAUGUUGGAUAUAAUUGUUGUGUCUAUGAAGGGCACAAUGGUUGGUUGUUUUUAGGACAUUAAAUGGUAUGUUAUGUUGAGUUACUUGUGGUCUCAAUUGUGGUAUGCUUUAAGAUGAUAUUAAAUUAGUUGUGUAUGUUUUAAAUGUGGUAAUGCAAAUGUUUAGAUAAGUUUGUUUGAUUGUGAUUGAGGUGCCUUAUACGGCAUAUUGGUUGAAUGCAUUUGGUCAUUUGAAUCGGUCAAUUUAAUCAUGUUUUGGUAUGUUUUUGAUGCCUUGGUCAUGGGGGUAAAUUGCUUGUAGGUACACAUUUGGCUUGGUAAUGGAAAUGGCUUGAUUUUGGCCUAUUUCAUGUCCACAUGGCCUAAGACAUGGGCCUGUGUCUUAGCCGUAUGUGACACACAGCCAUGCGACACAGCCGUGUGUCCCCUGUAGGUUUUAAAUGCAUUCAAGUCAGGUAAUUACACGGCCUGGCAUACGAGUGUGUAAGGCCAUUUCAAGUGUUAUACAGCCUAGCACACGGGCGUGUGGCUUGGUCGUGUGACUCAACUCAAAGAGGUACACUUGAGUCACACGGGCACGGACACGUGCUGGGACAUGACCGCGUGUCCCUAUUUCAAUUGUUACACAGCCUGAGACAUAGACAUGUGUCUCAGCCGUGUGAGUCACACGGCUUGGCUACACAGCCGUGUGACCCCUACAGUUCAAUUUUUCUAAAUUUUUCCUGAACUUUUCAAAUGUUUCCAAUUUAGUCCCGAAUUGUUUCUAAUGUAUUUCUAGGGCCUCGAGGGCUCAGUUAAGGGACAAUAUGCAUGUAUAUUAAUGGAUUAUGUUAUGUUUACAUUAAUGUUUGAAAUGUUUUUUUUUAUGUUACAUUUAUAUGGUAAUGCUCGGUAACCCCAUUCUAACGACGGAUACAAGUUAGGGAUGUUGCACUCAGGCACAUAUGGUUUCUCGUUCAACAAUUGCAAUUGUUAUUGGCAAGAUGUUUCAGUUACCGUCUUGUGCAACAACCAACAACAAAUGAUGCUCAUAUCUUCCAUAUACAGAUGUGUUCUCUAUUUGGAAAAAAGGUUUACAAUACCAAAAUGCAUUAUUGUAUAGCUUGAAUGUCAAAAAAAGAUGAUGAAGAUAUCUUUCUUCCUUGGAUUGUUCUAUCUCCAUGGUACGUAGGUGUUAUUUGCAAAUAGAUGAUGGCACCUUAAACGUGUUGCUUUAGUAUGGUCAACCAUUGCUAUAGCUUAUUAUAUGAUUUAUCCCAUUCAGUAUACAUUUUAUCCAUUGCCUUCUGUUUUGCAACCUAUGAUUUAUAAUAAGAUAUGGUGUAACCAUAUUUGCUAUGUAUAUAUUAGCAAUCAAAGUCACCACAAGAAACCUAAUAUUUGUUUUCACCAAAAGUAAGAUAAUGUUAGAGAUAAGGCCAUAAUCCAAUUUCAGAUGAACUUGUGAAAUACCUCAAAUAAUACAAGUAUGUAGAGUGAUAAGUCGUAAUUUAUACAUAUUUUUUAUCUCAUGCUUAGCACAUUUUUGGAUGAAUUAUCAUUAGAUUUUUGGAAUUUGAUGCUCCUAAUCCUUUAAUUUCAUGUUUUAUACUUAGGUGAGCAUAGGAGAGUAAAAAGAGCGAGAAAUGGUCCAAAAAAAGAGAAAAUGGGUCAAUGUGGGAAAUCAACACGGCCUAGACUUCCUCACAUGGGUAGACCACACACCCGUGUCUAUUUAGCAGACUUUAACAUGGCCUAAGCCACCCCACACGGGCGUGGCACAUGGUCGUGUCCCUAUUGAUCCCAAGUCUAGUUCUACUCAAAAAAAGGCCACUUUUGAGGGUUUUAAAGCAUUCUAAAGCCUAUAUAAACACCCAAGGAGGCGUCUAGAGAAAGACACACGAAGUAGGAGGCAAGGAAUUACUCGAAGAAAGCCAAUUAAUCCAUCUCAAAAGCCGGAUUCUCCUUCAAGACUAAAGAUCUCCCUUCAAUUUCCUUCAGGGUUUUUUUGGGUUUCUUUAUGUUUUGUUAUUAUUAUUAUUCUGAGAUGUUUUCUUUUACACAUAUGAACUAAAUUCCCUAAAUACCUAAGGGGGAUGAAACCUAAAACGGAUCUUGUUACUAUUUUCUAAAUUAUAUGAUAAAUACUUGAUUUGUUCUUAAUUAUGUGCUCUUAAUUCUUGCUUUAAUAUUCCAGGACAUUGAUUCAAGUAUUGAUGUGCUUAUUCAGAGGAGCAAAAGUCUCUGUUUAAGUGUAGAUCUAGCAUAAUUAAGCGGAGUUGAUUGCACCCCUAGACAUAGGGCGACAUAAAUCUGCCGGAUUAGGGUCAAACCUAAUAAGAGAAUCCAUAGAUCGAGUUAAUGCAACACUGGGGGUUUUAAUUAGAAAGAGAUUUCAAUUAAUCAACCUAGGGUUAGAUGUUGUUAAUCUCGAGAGAGAUAAUAAUAUAAAUUAAGGAUUUCUACGGAUCGAGUUAAGUGAAUAAAUCGUCUAGUUCAGGUCAAAUAACAAGUGAAGUCUAGGUGGAUUCUUCCUUGGGUAUUGUUUAAAUCAAUUAGUUUUCCCAAAAGUAUUUCCCCAAUUACUUCAUGUGCAUUCUUAAUUUAGUUAAUCAGUUUAGAUAAAGCAAAUCCCCUUAUUUUUAGGCUAAAGAAUAAAAAAAUGUUAAUACUAGUACUUUUAGUUCCUGUGGGUUCGACAUUCUGGUCUUACUAUAAGCUAUACUACUGUUCGAUAGGUGCGCUUGCCUUUAUCGUGAUAAUAGUUAGUUUUCAAGUACAAUCAAUCAUAAAUAUAAAACUUAUUACGCACAUCAUGGAGUGUUAUUUUUCUUUAUCGUCCACAACCGUAUCUUCUUCCUCAUUGAUGCCAUGAUUUUUUUAGGAACAUCCAUUGUCAGGUUUUCUGCGUUUCGCCUCAUAUUUAUUUGAUCAAGAUUUUUUAACUUGGAAAUUAAACUCAUUCUUAAUGUUGUAUUGCUUUACUACAAAAAUAAUAGCAUGUUUGCUGGAAAACCCCAUUUCUAAUUGCAAAUUGUCUAAAUUUGUAGAACUCGCAUGACCUGAUUUUCUAUGAGGUAGUUAUGGAAAUUCUAACAUAUGUUGAGAAUCAAUGUCAACAUUCAACACGUGGUAUGGAGGUUCAUAUGGCCUGAAAUCUUCUUAGGUUCUUCUUGCAUUGUUUGGAACUUCAUUAUUAGAACCACUCCCCUCUAGUACAGAAAGAACGACCUUUAGUUUAGAAAAUAAUACAAUUUCAGAACCAUCAGGGUCACACUCCCAGAUUAGGUCAUCAUUAGUUUCAUCACUUUGUGCUUCCUCUUCAUUAUCAACCCGAGUUGUUAAAUUAUCUAUUAGAUUGGAUGUCCUUCGUUAGUGUAGGGAGUAGAGAAAACAUCAUUCGUUUUUGGAAAGCCUACAUUAAAUUCAAAAUUACUUAUAGAAUGUCUUCCCAUAAAAUUUGAUGGCAUAUCCACAUAAGAGUUUGGAGCAUAGGACAUACACAUAUCUAUGUUGAAAUUAAAUGUGCUCAAAGAAUUUCGUGUUCGAAUCUUUGCAUUCAGGUUACCAACUACCCCCAAUAGUACACUAAAGCUGCAAUCGAAGACUACAACAAAUGAAUGUCUUCCUAUUGAUGAUUCUAACAUUCCUUGAUAUUAGCUUUGCAACAACCCAUGGAACUACCAUACAACUAUGUUGUUGGACUUUAUGCUUCAUGUUCUUGACCAAAAGCAAGAACUAUAUUAACUAGAGAUGCUGAUAAACUUGGACCACCUUUGGCUACUGUCAAAUUGGGCAUAAAACUCUACUAUAAUAUUCACAGUUGAGCAGUACACAUCAAUUAUUAACUUGACAUAUGCGUCGUCAUUUAGCUCAAAUGUAUCAUAUUUUACAGGGUUUAUUGAUGUUAGGUAUCUAUAUUUCAAGCUUGAAAUUCUCCUCCACUCGUACUUGAGACUUUUCUUCUAAUUCUUGACAGAAUUUAGUUCAAUUUGACGCUCUUAUUAAAAGCCAAAUCCAUAGGUCGAGUAUAUACAAAAAUGACCCCAAUUUUGGUAUCACGAAUUUGAUCGUCGUAAUAAAUAAUUUCUCUAAUUCUUUUACUCAUCUUUGGAAAAAAAACCUAUUUAACACACAACAGAAAAAAUAUACAUUAUAAUAUUAUACAAAAAUAAAUAUUUAUUAUUAUUUUGAUAUCUUGUUACAAUAUAAAUUACUAACACAUAAAUAUGUAGUUUAAAAAUUUUGAACCAAAUUUUAUAAAUAAAGUAACAACGACAAAUAAUUAUUUGCUUAUUUGAACUAAAUUAGUCUAUUAGGGUGAGUUUCCAAAUUAUGCUGCAGCAACUUCGAACUUUGUUCAAGCAAAUGAAUAUAACAAUUUCAAAUUUUAAACAACACUCUUUCUCCUCAACAUGCAAAUUUUCCCCUCGAUAUGUAUCUUAACUUUGAAAAACCUCUCUAUUUUAUAGGAAGACUCUACCACCAUAUAUGAAACAUAUUUCAAAAUGUUGAAAAAGAUUGAGCAUGACUACACAAAUCAAAAAAAUGCUUCUUUUUAUGUUUGGGAUUCUCGACUUCCAUUUUAUAGGAAGGCUCUACUAUUUGAUUUCUUAUAUGGAAAGGCUGAAUUAAAAAUGUUUGAUAGAGAAGAUAUCCCGAGAUUCUUGGGAAUAAAAUCAUUAAAUUUAUCUUUUGCUUCUUUUUGUUUCAUAUUUCAAUUCAACGGUUGUAUUUUUUUCAUCUAAAGGCUGAAUUUCAAAAAUUUAUGGGACUAUCAACAUGGCGUCCUACAAGGAAAAAGCAUGUCCUAUAGGACACGCUUUCCCUAAAAAAAAGUUACUUACAAGGUGCACUUUUACCUUGCAGGACGCCACGUCGACAGAAAUGUUCCCAACAAGACACACUUUUACCAUAUGUCACACAACCAACCAAAAAUAUUUAUUUAUCUAAAUAAUAUAAAACCCAAGCUAAACCCCUAAUUUUAUAUAAGUUAAAAAAGUAUACUUUUACCCUUUUGUCUACAAUAGUUAUAUAAAAUUAAUUUUAAAGGUAUUUUUGAACUUAAUCAAAUCAAUUCAUAUUAGAAGUAUACUUUUCUCUUUUUGGGGCCGACAAACCUUUUUUUUUUAUAUGACACAAUAUAAUUUAAAAAAUUAAAAUAUAAUAAAAAUACCAUCAAGAUGAUGAUGAUAAUAAUAAUAAUAAUAAUAUGACAUGAACACAUACAUUAUGAAGCUCUCUACAAGGUUUAAAAUCAAAUAUCAAAGAACUACUAGCAAUCAAUUGUACAGAUACAUAAUGAAGCAGCCAGACAUCGGAUCUUCACAAACACGUAUAACAUUACAACCACUGGAAAAUUAGCAAAAAGACCAUAUAUAAAAAUAGAAAAGAAAAUGUAUAGAACACAAUCUAAUUGGUCAGGCCUUCAGUGAACUUGACGCCGGUUGCCGGCAACCAUGAACGUCCGUUAAGGAACCUACCAACAGUGAAGGAAUUAGCAGUGGCAGCAUCUCGGAUAAUGUGGUAACCAGGCCAUUUAACCCGUCCAGAUAAUGAAGAACCAGGGCCAUAGUUCCUAUACUCACCAUACCAAAGUGUGUUCAAGGCGAAGUCGCCAUACCACUCAAGCCACCCUCUAGGGUGCACCAUACCACCCAUGUAAGUAUUCAUAAAAACUGUCCUCGAAUAUGGCUUCCAUGGCCUCCCUAAGUAAGUCGGUUGGGUGGCUAGAAUAUAGCUAUUCUGAAUCGAAAAGCCAGUGUUCUGAUUCGGGCUUUUCCGCCCCUGAGCGGUAACCGUCACCUUCUGAAGUGGCAAAGGAACUCGAGUGAAUAUCUUGCAGUUCUGGAGAACAGCUGCACCAUUGCCAAAAAUGAAGUCUAUGGUGCCAUAAAUGUUGCAUUCUCGAUAAAAUUGGCGGAGGGAGUGAACGUAGAGGGUAUCCUGAUACCCUUCGAUACUGCAACGAAAGAAAGCCGAUUGAUCGGAAUCCACUCGGAGAGCCACCGCCUGGUGGUUCUCUGGUCCGGCCGUGUUUCGGAACGUUAUGUCUCUUGCUAUAAAUCCCUUUCCAGAAACAGCUGCAAGAAUCAAGUUUCAGAGAAUUGUAUGAAAAGAUCAAAAGCGCAAGGAAUAUUACAAAACUUGGAAACUUUUAUAUUCCAGAAAAAAGCUUGAUGAAGCGUGUGCAAUCAUAAAUGGAAUUUCACUUUACAAAAGUAAUACUUCAUUCAGUCAUUCAUAUAAUUAGGCUAAUUGAAUGCUUAAGUUCCAUGAAAAUUUAAUCAGAAUUGAUAAUAUUUACCAACAGUGGCAGUUCGAAAUGUUGUCCAUCCUUGCAUGAAAUUCCGGUCCGCUGUGACUACAGUUUGUCCAAUUCCAUCACCGACAAGCAUAAUAUUGGUUUUCUUCUUCUUCAUGUCAAUGUUCUCCUUGUAAACUCCCUUCUUCACAUAAAUGACGUACCUCCUAUUAUUAUAACUUGGAGCUUCAUUAAUGGCAUCGGUUAUCGUCUGAUAACGUCCACUACCAUCUAACGACACAACGGCAUCUGCAUGCAUGCGACUUGAAUGAUUUCGUAGAAGCUCUUGAUCACCAUCGGUUAUCCAUUCCGGAAAUUUCGAGCUCGUAUACGUGGAAGUGCUAUUGCGGGGUGGUCGAAAAGGCAAGGUAUGCAAUUGAGUGUACAUAGCUAAAACAUUGCCGAUGAGUUGCGUAACUUGUUUCAGGCUGCCUCUGAUGAAGCUCUCAAGGUGUCGGUCGGUACCUUCGAAGCCUUCGAGGCAGGUAUCUUGGUUACUCAACGCAGCACUUAACCAAGCUUUGAGGUUGCCUUCAUAUUCAGCACUUGUAUCACCAUCACGAAUCUUUCUCAUCUCAGUUAAAGACCAGGCCAACUCGGAUACAGAGAAAUCAAGGAGUUCCUUGCAAUCUUCAAUGGCAAUUUGUUCACGAUAACUGACAGACAAACCAGUGAACCUUGUCAUCGUUUCAAUGGCCUGUCUGGCUUCAUUCAGCGUGGUCCUUAGUGCAGAAUGCAAAACAGAAGAUGGGGCGUGAGGCUCCAAGUUUUGAAGGUGAGUUUGAAUAUUUGAGAGGCAUAAAUCACGGUCAUCAAUGCCUUCACAAGCCUGCAUGAGCAAUGGUUGAGUGUUUAAGUUGUGUUGGACAUCAGAUAAAACUUGAGAUGAAGGUAAGAGUAAGAGAAUAAUAAGAAAAAAAUUGGGAAAGGCCAUUGUCUAAGGAGUUGAAGGAGAGAGGAAGGGAAUUGUGGGUUUUGUUUUUACAGAGAACGUAAAUAUUUUUAUAAUGCAAAGAACUAAGGUAUUGUUUGCUUUGAAAGAAAGGAAAUGAGGUUUGAGUUAUGAAAACAACUAGGUUUAUGCUUUUCCCCUCACCAAGUUAUGCUUUCUUUUAAGAUUCUAUCUUUAUAUUUUGUCUUGUACUGUUGCGGUGGGACGUUGGGUGAGGAAAGGCGGGGGGUAGGGGAGGGGCGGCGGUGAGGAGAGAAAAUGUAAUUUGAUUACAAUAUAUACAAAAAUAAUGUGUUCAUGAUUUCACCUUGAAUUAUUUUAAUGGAUUAGCAUGCACAUUCAACACCCUCUCAUGUUUUAUUAUAAUUUUUGAAUUAUCUACUAUCAAAUUCUUAGAAUUAUAUUUUUGAUGACUAAUAUAUUAUGGAUCUGCUCUCUUUUUUUUUAUUGUCUAAAAUACAAUGUACAUAAAUAUUUAUAAAAUAUCAUAAAUUUAAUUUUAACAAAUAACAAAAGAUAGUCCUAUUUUUAAUUUAUACGUAAUUUGUUUACAAUUUUUUUAAAAAAAAUUAAAAUACUUUUUUUGAUAAAUUUAUUUAGAGUUUCAUUUAUAAAUUUAUUUUUACUUUAAAUCAUGCAUUUAAAAUUAUUACACGAAAUUUGACUAACAAUGUAAUCAAUAACAAUUUUUAUUUUUAUUUUUAUUUUUUUGAAAAAUUCAUCAGACUAGGGUUUUAUAAAUCAAGCCAAAUAAAAAACCCAAGCGCAGGUUCCAGAAACAGAACAAAGGAAAAAACUAAAAACCAACAAAACUUAAAAGAGCGGCUGACGAAUAGCAGACAUCCUAAGACCCAAAAACAACAAAUAAAGAAAAAUCUAGAAGCAAAUUAAAUGAAACAAAGAAACCCUACUAAGAUUAGUACACACUCCUCAGUAUUAAACGCUAAUUUAGCAUUAUAUUUAAAAAAUACUUUUAAAAAGUAAUUUUUAGAAUUACUUUUAAAAAUUUUAAUUUAAAAUUUAAGUGUUUAGUAUUAGUGUCAAAAAAUACUUUUGAGAAAUAAAAUAUUCAUUUUAAACAUAGUAUUAUAAAGUAAUAAAUAUACAUUUAAAUACUAUUCAAAUUAGUUAAUAUUAUGAUAUCUUACUAAGAAUAUAAAAAAUCAUUUAUUAUGACUUAUUGUUAAUAUUGUAAUAUAUGAAAUAAUAAUUUUAAAUAUUUUUAAGUAAUUAAUAUUAAUUAUUUAUAAAUAUUAAUAUAAUUGUAUUACUUUAAAAAAAUAUUUUUUAAAAAUUUUUAAUUAAUAAUUUUAACACAUUUGUAUUAUUUUAAUUUGAAUAUAUAACCAAUAUCAAAUAUUAGCAUAACAGAGAAAACAUAGACCUAACAAAUUAAAAUAUUACAUGCAUUUGAAUUAAAGUUUCAAAGAGGGGUAAUAUUUAUAUACCAAAUACAUCAUCAAAAAUUUUACAUUAACAUUUACAAUUUAAAGUGAAUUCAUUAAACUAGAAGCUAUAACAUCUCUUAUUAAUUCCAUUUCAAAACCACUUGAAUUUGUUGAUUCACCACCACCAUCAUCAAGAUGAUCACUUGGCAAAGAAAGGUAACUUGCCUGUAAAACAAUAAAAGAAAUAGAGAUCAUAACUUGCCUGUGAGUCAAAGCCUUGGCAAGUUAAUAAUAUUCUAGUAUUUCCUAGCCCCUGUCAUAAAAUAUCAAGAAAGUGAAGAGGUAAGGAUGAUUUCCUGUUUCCCGCAAUUCAUAACCUUUUUUGCUACAAGUUAGAAACUAUCCAGAGAGGUAUGCAAUAAAGACAGAGCAAUAAAUAAUUUGUCCCACAUCAUGCAAAAGCAAUCUUGGAUGCAAGCACAUCAAUUUUCAGAUUUCUAUCUCCCAAACCAAAAGGAAAUAAUGGAGUGAUAUAGGUCUCGGGAACUAGAAAUUUCAAGAAAUGAACUCAACAUGGCUAUGACGUGUUCCAAAGGUUUCGAUCAGAUUCAGUCUCAUCUUAUGCCUUGACUGUAGUCUCACCACACCUCUCCCAAUCAUUGCCUCCAGUAAAUGCCAUCUUACAGGAAGAAGGACAAGUUAUUAAGUGCAAUACCAAUUAAACAACACAUCUAUCUGAAUUUGUUUUUACUUUUUUUGCUCACCAGUCCUCUUACUUUAUCUACAUAUCACUCAUGUUGCGUUCCAAGUUAAAAUACUUAAAAAGAAAAGAAAAAUCUGCAGUUAGAAGAAGCCAUAGGACCAAAUCAUUCACCUACUUCCUCACGAGAGAAAUAGGUAAAUUUGAAUGCAUAAAAUUGAUAAACCAUCAUGAAACAAUCCACAAAUUUAUAUGACUAUAUCAUACAACAAGUUAAGUAGGAAAAUUCUAAUGACAUUACGCAAAAUAAAUUCAUAUUAUACGUACAAAAGAGUAUUCCACUAAAAACGAUUUAGAAUGAGCUAACUCAAAUUUAAAAUUUAACCCUGUCCAUAUUUGUAAUAAUUAAUUCAAUGGUUAACUCAUAUUUUUAAACUAUUUAUAUUAUUUAAUAAUUAUAUAUUUUAUUUAUUAAAAUUUUAUAUAUAAUUAUUUUAACAAUUGUUUAAAAGUUUAUAUUAUAUAGAUUUAAUUUUUGUAGUAUAAAUUAAGUAAUAUAUAAAAAUAACUAAUAUAAAAAAUUACAAAUUUCAAAAUGGAUUGAAUUAAGCCCAGGCUUUGAAUGUUUAAAUUUAAACUUGGCUCAUAUUUUAAUCAGGUUUAAUUUGGGCAUAAUAUUUUUGCAAAGAGUAAAGUUUUCAAACUUAGAUAGAUAAUCUAAAUGUAUAUACUAAAAUAGAAAAAAUUGACUCAAACUAUACUCUUUUAUAAUCUAAAUUACUAUAAUUGUAUUACGAGUUUUAGUUCGGGUACGGGUUAUGUUAUUGCCACUUCCAUCUCUUCAACAGUUGAUUGAUUGAAAGUAAAGAGAAAUGUAACAUUAAUAAGGAAUCAAAAGGUUUGGGUUGAAAGUAUAGGUGUAGUUGGGGUUUUGGGCUGAUUGUAAGUUGUGAGGGGAUAUCUCUAUUGGUUUGUUACAUGCUUUACUUAUCUGAAAAGUUGACAUAUCUUAAUGUAAUGCAACCCUAGGUGCAACUACUUUCAUAAACCCGUUUUUGCUGAAUAUAACAUAUGACAAGUAUAUCAUUUUAAUAUUUUUCAAUUUUUUUCCUUCUUUAAAAAUCGAAUAAAUUAAAAUUACCAAGAUUUUUCAUUUGCUUUCUUUUGAUGCUUCAAUUCUUUCCUUAAUUCUUUAUAAUUUUUUCUAGUCUUUAUCUUACUAAAAUAUAACCCUAAUCGCAGCCCAAAGCCACCACCUCAGUUUGCCACCCCAAAACCUCCCCGUUAUCUCCGAAAUCUUAGAUUUUCAAGAACCGAACUACAACUUUUGGAAACCCCAAUUAGAAAAUCUCGAUCAAUUAUUCCUUUUUUAGCUUCACUAGUAUAAAAAGAUAGUGCAAAAAAUUGUUCAAAAGUCUCAACCUUUACCAACUACAAAAACUUUACAAAAUUCUGUGUAAUUUUAUAAAAAUAAUUUAUUAUCAAAUAACAUAUUAAAUAUUUAAGCAUUAUACUCCUAGAAAAUUAAGCAAUUAAAAGAUUAUUUCAUCAUCAUUUGAAUCUAUCUGUGAUUUUUCUACUACAUGCACGCCUUUCUUCAAAUGUUUAAAAAUAAAACCAUAUAUAAAACACAAUUCAGAUGCUCAAGGGAAGAACUAAAAUUUGACACCAGAAAACUUGGUUUGUUUCAAAAUAGAUAAAGAAAGCCAUGGCAACAGUUAAUAAGCUUGCAAAUAAAUAACCCCCCCACCUGAACAGAAAACUUCUAAAAAGAAGAGAGAAAUUUUAGUUCCCUCAGAUCAGAAUGAAUCCAAAAGAUAUUUUAAUCACUGGAUUAUCAGCAUUAGCAUGGUUUAAAAGCUAUCAUAGGGAACAUUUUUAACACCAACACACAUAAAUAUUAAAAAUGAAAAAUAGAGGAAAUUUUCAAACUAAAAAAGAGGGCUCAGAUAAAUGUUGGAUUAUGAUUCAAUUCCCAGACCUUUUCAAAAGGUCUCAUAGAGCUGGGAUUAGACAUUCAUCAUCAUCGACGACAUAUAGAUAAAAAAAACCGGGUAAACAAAAGGCGAAUUAAACAAUCAAAACAAUUCUUUUUUCCUCUUUGAAGAAAAUUCAUAAAACCAGAAAAAUAGAUAGAAGAGAUGAACAAGAGAAGGCGGCGUCUAUCGGUUGAGAGAGCCAGAUAUUUAAAGGGGAAGAAAUGAGAAGGUAUAGGGUUUAAUUUUAGGUAUUAUGACAAAUUUAACCUUUUACAUCUUCUAUCAAUGGUAGGCGGCGGCCAACGGUUAAGAUAGCCAGAUAUUUAAAGGGGAAGAAAUGAGAAGGUAUAGGGUUUAAUAUUAGGUGCAAUGACAAAUUUAACCUUUAAUUUUUAUAUUUUUAUUAAUUUGGUAUUUAUUUUUUAUUGAAUUUUAUUCUCAAUUUCUUUAAAAAAAAGUUAAAUUUUACUAUCAAUUUUUUAAAAACAGUUUAAAUGUUUUUUAAUGAAAAUGUUGACUAGUGUUAAAUUUUUAAAUAUGACCGUUCGUAUUCACGUGUACUUAAUAUUUUUCUUAAAUUUAUGAUGUAUAUAUAAAAAAUAGUAUUAUGUUAAUAUAUUACACAUAUAUUGUCACACUAAUAUCGUUAAAAUUUUUAAUUAAAAUUUUAUUAAAAACUAGUUUAACUUUUUGUGAAAGAAAAACAGUUAAAUUUAGUUCAAAAAUAAUAAAAUCGAAAUUCUAAAAAAGUUAAAUCUUUUUAUUUUAAUGAUGGUUGUAGCCAAGUAUUGGAUUCCCAAAGGCUAGAAUGAUUUUUGAGUAAAUAAAGGGGUCCAAUAGCCCGGAUCUAUAUUCUGUUUUAUGGUACAUAGAGUUUAUAAAUGAUAGAUUUGAUAAUGGGUCGGGUCAUUCAAUCCGGCCUAAAAGUUCGUUAAAAAAGUGAGAGAGUUCAGGCAAAAGUUUAAGUUCGAAAGAUGAGUUUAGGCAAAAAAUGAGACUCGUUUUUAAAACGGGUUGGACCUCGAUUACAAAUUUUUUUUUUGGGCUCGACCUGGACCGACCUGGAUUUGUAAUACUAAUUUUUUAAUAUUAUUUUUAAUAUUCAUACUAAGUUACUGAGAUUAAUUUUUUAAUAGUUGAUUGGUUAAUUUAUAAAUAUUUUUUAAUAUCAUUUUUGUAAUUUUUAUAAAUAAAGUUUUAAAUAAAUAUUAAUAUUAAUAUUUUAAAAUUUUUUAUUUAAAUAAAGUAUAAAACUACUUAAAUUUAAUAUACAAAAUAUAAUUAUUUGUAAUUUGUUUAAAAGACUGUUUAUAUAGAUUUUUAAUUUAUAAAUAAAAAUAAAAAUUAAAAGAUUGAAACGAAAAACAUUGAGAUAAACUGUUUGAGAUUCCUUUUAAUAUUUUACCAUAAAGAAACUAAUUAAAUGUGGUCUGAAACAGCAUUAGUUAAAAUUAGGGCCGGAACCAUCAUCAACAAUCAAAGUUGAGGCAGAGGAGUCAUAUGGCAAAUCAAACCCAUCCAUUUUCAAGCCUGAAACAGCAGAAAACCCGAAUCCUGGAUUUCCAUGGGCACGAGGGCUGCGAAUAUCACCCACCUCUUCCCCUAAAAACAUCCUGCGGCAUGUUGAUUGUAGCAAAAACAUGUUCCAUGAAACUAAAUUUUCUUUUAAUGAUAAAUCAGUAUUGUAACUGAAACAAACUGUAAUCAACUAAAAUGGAUGAUAUAUUGCAUGAAUAACGCACAAGUUGACUAGAAAGAAAGAAAGAAAGACUCCUUAUGAACAGCAUUCCUCGACGUUAUUGCUGUCACAUAUGAUUGGUGGUUGUCUGUUGCUUUGGCCUAAGCUCAAUCCCCUCCACAACUAGCCCUCCUUUAAGGUGCGUUCCUGUGACUUCCUUUAGUGACAUCUUUACUUCUAAAUCAUCACCUCCAUUAUUAUAAAAACUUCCCAAUUCAAUCUCAAUCCAUCCAUCUUCACGUUUGCAAGCAACCCUUUCUUCCAUUAUCCCUCUAAAGGCCAUUGAUCUUAGAACUAAUUCCAUCCGGUUCGAAUACCAGAGUGUUUCUAAACAUUGUUUCUUACUUUCGUAUUGCCGUAGAUAAACAUUCCCUUCUGAUUUCGCAUUUCCAAUUUCCACUGUAACUUUUGAUGGCAAAAAAUCUAACCCAUAUGCACGAUCCACAAAUUUCACAAUAACAUAACACUCGUAGGUUGUUUUUGGAGACAGCAUACCAGAAUUGAUCUUGCCUUGGAUUUCCAACCACCAUAUGGUUCGAAGUUCUACUGCUACAACAAACCUGGGAAUGAAAAAGUAGUUUAAACGGUUGGGACAAUGAAAGGGAGAGGUUUAAGAUAAAAGAAAUUGAAUAAAUGUGAGAGACCUUGAUGCUGGGAAAGGUUUCCAGGACCAGAAGAGAGGGUUGUCGGCCCAUGCUAUGUUCAACUCCCUUGCACUCAACAUAUAUUGUUUUUUACCUGUUGUCUUCUCUAAUGAAAACGUCUGUCAAAUAUUGCAAAAUUAUAUCUCUCUCAUGGGUUGCCAAGUUUUCAUGGUGUUAUUGAACAAUAGCCAUCCAAGUUGAGAAAUCAUGGAUCUCUUAUUUGACCUGGCUAUUGGAAGGGGGGCAGUUUACCAGGGUCAUGUUUUGCAUCCACAGGCGGGUGGAACAAAUAUGAAUUUUUACAUUAAAGAACUCAUAUUUGAUCCACCACCUGUCAACAGAAAAACAACCUUGGUCAAACUGUUUUUGUUUUGUUUUUUGCAUUAAUUCCUCCGAACUCAGAAUUUAUGAAUUAAAAAGCAGAUUGCAUAUUUGCAUUUGCUGGCACCUGCUUUCUAUGGAUCAAUGAUAGCUCUCCAUUGAUACAUGAAUGAAUGGUGGGAGCAGACAUAUAGUAAGCCUUCAUAUACUUUUUCAGAAGGUGGUAAAUAGUUUUAAAAAAAAAAUUCUUAAUAAAAUAACUACUUUAGUAAACUAAUGAAUAAUGUCGCAUUAACUUGUUAGUUUUGAAAAAAAAAAAAAAACCCUGAAAUUAAAAUUGCUUUACCUUAAGGCCUCCAUCAAUUAGAUGUGGGUUACAUAACCUGAAGAACAAGUGUUUUUUGGAGGAGAAAAUUAAAGGAUGGCAUAGCCUGGUGAGAAUUUGUUGAUAAUCUGGUGGCAGGAAUUUUUCCCAAACACUGUCGGAAUUAGCUGAAAUCCGAAUGGAGGAAGAAACAAGCGAGAUUCGACAGGCAUCAAUGGGAGAUGUGAGGGAAAGAAUAUGUGCAAAGCAAUCAUCAGGUAAAAGAUCUAAAUUCAUGAUUCAAAAGCAAGAAGAAAGGUAUGAGGUUUGAGGGGAUGGAUGUUUGUAUAUAUGCGAUAUAGUGAAGGACUGAAAUGCAUCGUUAAUAUGACAACAUAUUCUUUGUUGGAGUUUGCUUUACAUGACGACAUGACCACAACAUAUGAGCACAUCAUGUAAUACAAUAUUGUAGGAUAUCGGCCAUCUAAUAUUGAAAUUUGAAAUGAUCCCAAUUUGGGUUUUAACAUAUACUGUCAAAUUCAUCAAAUUGUGGGGUAGUUUUUUAUGUCAAAGUUGAGCUGCCAAGAAUUCUGCUCUUUGGAACCAUUUCAUCACAUUUAGUCGACACCAUCAAAAUUGGAGAAAAAGUUGGAACAUAUAAAAUCUUGACUUAAUAUUCAAAAUAAAAUAAAAGUAUAAAUUAAUUUUGGUUGGAAUUAUUAAAGAUAUUGUCCAAAUCGAUAUGAAUGGUAGGAUACUGGUCUGGUCCUUUUCUAGAUACAUCCAAUUGUUGUUCAAUCAAAAUUUCUGUCAUUGACAUCCGAGUGGAGAGACCAAAAAUUUACUCCUAUCCCAAUAUCUUUCUUUAAUUCUAAGAUAGUUCAUUGUCUCCAUCUCCAAAAAUGCGUGUGAAAAGUGAAUUUGAGGGUAAUCUUUGGGAAGAACUCAACCCAAACUUCUUCCACAAAUAUGUGGGGACUAGUAUUAAAGGAAAGUUUAAAUAAAUAAUGUGUUUAUUUGUAGUUAGCAUAAAUAUAAUGGUAAUAAUAAUAUUACAUAUUGUAACAAUAUUAUAACGUAAAAUAAAAAAUAAAUUAAACACAUCACACUAUACUCUACCAUCCAUUCAAAUCCAUCCUAAAUAAUUUAAGUUUAAUUAUGAAUAAACCAUUUCAAUGUGUCAUAACACAUUGGUUUGCCAUUUGUUGGACUUUCAUGUAGAAAUUAAUAUGUUGUAAUAAGUGUUACAACGGAACUUUGAAGCAAAAUAUUAUAAUAAAAGAAUUAAAGUGUAAAAUGGGAUUAAGAUUAUUUAAGCAGUUUGAAAAGUAAUUUUAUCACUUCAAAGUUUUAACUUUAAGAAUGAAUCUAUUAAUUUUUUUUUAAAUACAACUAAUGAUUAAAGCCUUAGUUAGUGGCAAAUUUUGAUGCUAAGUUUCGGGAGACUAAUAAAACUUUUAAAAAUGUUAAGAUUUUAAUGAGAAUUUUUUCUUUAAAAAAAAUAAGGGGUUUAAUUGAAUUUUUUUUGUAAGAUUAAUGAAAAUUAAAAUUUUUUAAAAAUUUCAAAAAAAGAAAUCAAAAUUUUGUAUACCAAGACCUUCAAGAGAAUCCACCUUUGGCCCUAACUUGCUUAAAACUAGACUUGUCCAUGGGUCGGACCAUUCGGCUCGGUCUAAAAGUUCUCUCGAAAAAUGAGAGUGUUUGGGUAAAAAUAUAGGCCCGAAAAAUGGGAUUGGGAAAACAAUAAGGCCCGUUUAGAAUACAGAUCGAGCCUCCAGCAAGGCGUUUUUGGCCUGGCUCUAAUAUGCAAAAAAAAUUGAUGUUCUUUUUUACUGCUUUCUUGUUGUUUUUUUAUUGUUUUUUUUCUACUAUUUUGCUACUAUUUUACUAUUAUGUUGCUACUAUUUUGUUGUUAUUAUUUAGAUAUUGUAUUACUCUUAUUUUAUUGUUAAUUUUGUUACUAUUUUAGAGGUAUUUGCUUAUUAAGUUGCACCUAUUUUAGUGUUAUUUAAGUAUACAUAUUAUUUUUUAAUUUGUUGGGAAACAUUUAUUUUAAUGUUUUUAGUAUUUUUGAUGUAUUAUAUUUUUUAAAAAAUUAUAUAAAAAAAUUAAUAUGACCGAGUCGAGCCCAGGUUUUAGUAUUUUAGACCCAUUUUUUGGACCAAACCAAACCCGAACCUAACAAAUAAGUCUAAAACUUUAAUUAAACCCGACCUAUGAACACCUCUACUUAUAACACGAAUACAAAAAUAGCCUCACUAAUAUACAAUUGCUUGCACCAACUUUACCUAGAUAACUUACAAGUGAAUGAAAACUCUCCACUAAAGCUUAAGCUAUCAAAAAUUAAACUACCCUAAAAAUGUUCUCAAAAUGAAUUGAAUAAAGCUCUUAAAAACCAUUGCUAAGUAUAAGUCCACGGUGGUACAUGUGACAUUUAAACUUAUACAAUAUCAUCUUAGCUUGUAUUUUAAACUUGGUUAAUUAAUAUUUGUGGCUUGCACUCAAUUAUUAUUUUGGUAUCUAUAAUUUUUUUUUUGAUAUUUAAAUUUUUUAAUUAUGUAUCACUUUAUCCUAGCUGUUAACGCUGUUAAAAAAAUGAUAUGGCACGUCACUCAGUUUAUAUUUUUUAUUUUGAAUAAAUUAGAAAAUAGAAAAAAUAAUAAGAAAAAAAUCUCAAAUUUUAAAAAAAAAAAGAAAACUAUUAAAAAUGUUCCAAAAUUUUAAAUAUAUAUUUUAUUUUAAAAAUAUAUAAAAUAGAAAAGAAACACAAAAAAUCCAAAAAAUAAAAAAAGUCAUAAAAAUCUCAAAAAAAAAUUUUGAAAAAUAAAAAAAUAUAUAUAGAAAAUUUCCAAAAAAAUUAAAAUAUGAUUUAGUGACUGUUAUUCAGGAAGACAGCUUGCAGUGAAAUUAUGAUUAUGUGGUAAACAGUGACAAAAAUUUGUUAAUGAGUUGCUUAUUGAUUUCUUAUAAGCUUACUAUGAUCUGUAGGUGUGGUUGGCCGAAUAUUAUAAGGGGUUAAUACGUAGUUUGUAUUUGAAUAGUUAGAUUAACGUGUUAGUAAUCCAAUUGUAGGCGGUUCGUGUGUGGAUCUCGUCAGCAUAUCGUCGCAAACAGGUGUGUAACUAACACCCUCUUUCUUAGUCUGGUUCGGCAAAAGUUGAAAAGCCGAAAUACCGAAAACCGGUAUUUUGUAGAUUUGCGAGUGUGCGAAUGCUCAUGAGGUAAACCGAUUAAUGUUUUUGGUAAGCUGCAAAAUUUGGACUGCAAAGUGCAUGAUUUCUGUGCCCUCGAUAUUUUUGGGCUUAAUGGGCCAAAAUUGGAAUGAUGGGCCAACGGGCCCAAUUCGGUAAGAACCCUCGGUACGUGAUUCUGUUAGUACGUGAAAAGUAGGAAUAUGCAUGAAAAACCCUAAAAUAAAUAAAUUACUGAAAUACCUUUAAAAGUGGAAAAUUUACAGUUUUACCCCUAGUAGAUAAAUUACCGAAAUAUCCCUAGGGUUAAAUUGACCUAAAUGCAUGUUUGACUGUUGUUAUUUACUGCAUGCCAUGUUGUUAUUAUCUGAUGCAUGGGAUUGGGAUAUUGACGGAGGAAGUACUGAAAGUGGCUUGUCCACGUACUGGAGACUUUGCCUCAAUUUACUGUUAACUGAGCAGCAAGGCUGCAACUGUGGAGUGUUGGGCUGGGUGGGUUGAGCUAUUCCCCACAUGGAGUGUAGAGCUGGUACGGGUGGAGUGUAGUGGUUGGUGGGUUGAGUAGUCUCCCCAAAUGGGCUUGCAUAUGUUAUUGAUGUUGCAUGUAUUUUAAAAUGGGCCUAUGGGCCAUACUGUUAUCUGAAUAAGGGGCUAAGGCCCAGUUUAUUGUAAUCUGAAAAGGGCUCUGGUCCAGUACCACUGUUACCUGAAUGGGCUUAGGCCCAAUAAGCUUGAGUUGGCUUGGGCUUUGAAUGGGUUUUCCUUACACACUGAGUUUCCCCAAACUCACCCCUUUUAUUUUCAUCCACGCAGGAAAUCCCCAACCAUAGUGGGCUUGGAGCUGUGAGGGAAUUCGGAGUGGCCAUCCGUUCUGAAAGUUUGGUUUUCUUUUGGUGAACUGGACAUCCUAUUAUUUACGUUGAGGUUUGGGUUUUUAAAUGUAAUAAGGCCGCUUAAUUAUUUUUGAUGGUUUUAAUAUGUAUUACUAAGAUAGAUAUUACUUAUUUUAACUGUUGAAAUUGGAUAGCUUUAGGGCGCGUUUUUAAAAAAAAAACAACAAUUGAUUUCAAAAUAACACGACAACAAGCAAAGCUUCCGCAAUGAAAGUAUUUUUCAAAAUUAAUCACUUUUCCUAAAAAUGACUUAAUCAAAUCAGUUUCCUAGAAAUAUACAUGACGUUAAGGUGUGGCAAUGGCGGUGUGCAUGUCUAGGAUUGGAUCCGAAGGGAGCUUGGUACUUAAGUAGUCCGAUAGACUCACCUCCUCUUUUCCGGUUUCCUACCUGGUGCACAGCUUCCAUUCACUUUAACCUAUAAUGAAAUUAUCUUUUAAAACACUAAGUAGGUUUUUCUGGAUCAACAAUAUAAAAUGUUUUGAACGCUUCGAUGUGGCAUGUCGGAUCUGGCCAUAACGUCUGGGCCAGGUUUGGGGUGUUACGUUUAGUGGUAUCAGAGCCUAGGUUGCAACAACUCGGCUGUGGAUCGGGUAAAAAAAAGGGUUUUCAAAACUUUAUUCCAAAAAAAAGAGAGGGUAUUUUUUUAAAAAAAAACCUGACUUUUGAAAAUAAAUUUCCUGUUUAAAGGAGAUAAUCUCUGAACUUGUUUUUUUUACACAAAUGUUUGGAAAAUGGAUUUCAAAAAGCCUAAAUCUUUUGAGUUUAUCUGAAAACUGAUGAGGUGGCACACUGAAUCCCCAGCACCAAGGCUGUAAGUACUAUUCUGUUUUAUAUACUGAACUGUACUGUAGUUAGUACUAAACCUUAGAGAUAGUACUAUAGAUAAUGUAGCGUAAAGGUUACAAAACUGAGACUAUAGGGUAAACUAAGCCCUUGGAAACUGAGACAGUAGCUAAAUUGUGGUUACGCGAGAACAACUCUGAAAUCUUAUCUGUUCUUAAGAUAUUCUAUAAUAAACAGUAGAAACAGUAAACUAACUGCAUAAAAUUUGUAAUCAAAUAAAUCGAUAUGAGUACGUGAGCUACUCGGGGAAGAGGCCGUGGUCGAGGCUGUGGUCGAGGCCGAGGUAGUACUCAAGCUGGAUCUUCGUCUUCUGAACACAUACCCGCUGGAGUAGCACAACCACCACUGGUGGAUGAGAAUCGGCUGUAUGAUCUGGCUGCGGGGGAUGACGCUCUGUUCCAGGCCAUGUUAAGAGUUUUGGAAAGGGUGGCCGGAGCUAAUAUCGGGCCUAUGAAUAGGGGGUCUAUUUCUGAGCGACUCCGGGCCAACGGAGCGAAAGUUUUUAGGGGUGUAUCUGGAGUAGCCCCAAAUGUGGCUGAGUACUGACUGGAAGCCACGGAGUGGAUUAUGGAUGACUUGGACUGCUCAGUGGAGCAAAAGUUAAAAGGAGCAGUAUCCUUACUACGGGAUGAGGCGUAUCAGUGGUGGAUCACUGUGAGAAAGGGUUCCCCAGCUGAGAGGGUAACUUGGGAGUUGUUUAAGCAGUCUUUCAAGGCGAAGUAUGUCGGAGCUAGUUAUGUGGAUGCGCGAAGGAAAGAAUUCCUGAACCUGACCCAAGAUGGUAAAACCGUUGCUGAAUAUGAGGCAGAGUUUCUGCGAUUGAGCCGGUAUGCUAAUGGUAUUAUCUCUACAGAAUACGAGCGCAAUGUUCGCUUUGAAGAUGGCCUCAGGGAUGAGCUAAGGGUGCUCAUAGCUCCGCAAAGAGAGCGCGAUUUUGCUGCACUGGUAGAAAAGGCUAAGAUAGCCGAAGAGGUGAAGGAAGCUGCACGAAGGAACCGUGACAGGGAUCGAAACCGGUUCAGGAGAGAUACUGGACCAACUGGUGCUGCAAACCGGAAUGUUAAGAGAGCUAGGAUGGAGGAACCAGUUCGAGAGGUUCCGGUAAACACUGUUAGACCACAAGCUUGUGGAGAUUGUGGUAAAAUGCAUCUGGGGGAAUGUUGGAAACAUUCUGGGGCUUGUCUUCGUUGUGGAUCAAAGGAACUUAAGAUCAGGGAUUGUCCUAAGAGGCCAGCUCUGGCUCAAGUGGUUGAACAAAGGGCUGUGCAACCCGUGCAACCAGCGCAAGGUGGACCGUCGCCGUCGAGAGGUCGUGGCCAAGGUCGCGGUGGCAAUGGCCAUGGACGUGGGGCACCUGGAAGGGGUAUUGUUAACACUGAGGCUCGUUAGCCAACUUUGGUAUAUGCUGCUCGUCACCGCGAGGAGGGUGACUCACCUGAUGUCAUAACUGGUACGUUUUUUAUCUCUGACGUACCCUAUACUGCUCUGAUAGAUGUGGGGUCAACUCAUUCAUAUGUUGCAUAUGAUAUUUCUGGGGCAUUGGGCGUUCACUUUGAGGAAACUGUGUGUGGGGUAACUAUGAUAAGUCCGUUAGGUCACUCAGUUAAAGUAGAGAAACUCUUUAGGGAGGUGCCUUUAGAAACUCAAGGUAGGAUUUUCUGUGGAGAUUUAAUGGAGUUAACAUUCUGAGAAUUCGAUUUGAUCUUAGGGAUGGAUUGGUUGACCAAGCAUAGGGCAACGCUGGUUGUGCAACUAAGAGGAUGGUGUUAAGGACUAUUGAGGAUGAGGAGGUAAUGAUUAUUGGGGAACAAAGAGAUUACUUGUCCAAUGUGGUAUCAACUUUAAGGGCUGAGAAACUAAUGCGUAAGAGAUGCGAGGCGAACUUGGCUUUUGUAAAUCAAGUUGAAACUGGGGAUCUAACUGUGGAUAUCGUCAGGACUGUUAGUGUGACAGCCCUAAAGUGACCCUAGUCGGAAAGCGGUUUCGGGACCGCUAAACCGAGUCACCAAAUUAUUUGAAUGUGAUAUUUAUUGUCUAAAAUAUGUGAUUAUGAAGGUGUGAAAGUUUUAGGCUUCGAUUUAGUAAAUUGUAUGUGAAUUUAGUCAAAAGGACUUAUGGGUCACAUUUUUGAAAUGUGAUAGGCUAAUCUACAAGGACCUAAUAGUGCAUGUAAUCAAAAGGGAGGACUUGCAUGUCAACUUUCCCCCUAAUAUGUAGUGGCCGGCCAUGAGCAUGGGUGGACAAGAUGUUAUGGCUAAAAACAUGUCAUAAACAUGUUGGGGUAAUGCAUUAUGUAAGGAUUAAUAAAAUAAAGAGCAUGAGCAAUAAAAUAUUAGUGUUAGUAGGAUGAUAAACAAAAAAAAAGGAUGUGUGUGAUUGUCCCCCCCAUUGCCGUGAGUUGAAGGAAAGAAAAACAAAAAAAAAAGUGUUCAUCCUUUGGUUCAUCCUUGGCCGAAAAUUUUAAGGAGGAAGGAAGAAGAAAGGUUGAAGAGGUUCGGCCAUGCAUGUAACUAGGCUAAGGUAUGUUUGAUGAUGUUCCAUGAGAUGCAUGCAUGUUUUAGUUGUUAGCUUGAGUUCUACCUAGCCCAUGGUCUAAAUCGUGCUAUGCGAUAGAAAUGACACUCGGCCAUGGAUGCAUCAUUCUUGCUUGGUGUUGAUGUUGUGUUGGUGAGAUAUCAAGUUAUUUUUGUGACCAAGUUGAGAUUUGAAUUUUUGGAAUGAGUAAGGUUUUCGGCUAUGGUAAAUAUAAGGGUGAUGGAUGUUGUGUCAUGCUAAAUCUAGAUGAAUAAUGUUAGUGCUUAUAUCUCGAUAUUCAUGAGUUUCUUUCUUGGUUUUACCUCAAACCCAUGAAGUAUUUUAAUUGGUGUUGUUAGAGGUUUCCGUCAUGGGAUUAUAAGCUUGUUAGUUUUGAUGAUGAAAUUUAUGCCUUACAAGGGUAAAUGGUGUCUUGAUGCAUUCGGCCAUGGUAGAAAGUAGAUGUGAAAUGGUAGUAAGAUAAAAUGCAAAAUGUUAGUAUUUGAUUACUAGUGUAUAAAUGCGUAUUAGCCGAGUUUUGAAUUUGAAACGAAACGGUAUAUAACCAAUACAAGUAACCAUACUUGUGGGAAGUAUUAAGCAUAUAAUUGGCCUCAACAUAUACAUGCAUACUCAGCUGUGGAUCGGGUAAAAAAAGGGUUUUCAAAACUUUAUGCCAAAAAAAAAGAGAGAGGGUAUUUUUUAAAAAAAACCUGACUUUUGAAAAUAAAUUUCAUGUUUAAAGGAGAUAAUCUCCGAACUUGUUUUUUUUUUACACAAAUGUUUGGAAACUGGAUUUCAAAAAGCCUAAAUCUUUUGAGUUUAUUUGAAAACUGAUGAGGUGGCACACUGAAUCCCCGGCACCAAGGCUAUAAAUCUAUUCUGUUUUAUAUACUGAACUGUACUGUAGUUAGUACUAAACCUUAGAUAUAGUACUAUAGAUAAUGUAGCGUAAAGGCCACAAAACUGAGACUAUAGGGUAAACUAAGCCCUUGGAAACUGAGACAGUAGCUAAACUGUGAUUACGCGAGAACAACUCUGAAACCUUAUUUGUUCAUAAGAUAUUCUAUAAUAAACAGUAGAAACAGUAAACUAACUGCAUAAAAUUCGUAAUCAAAUAAAUCGAUAUGAGUACGUGAGCUACUCGGGGAAGAGGCCGUGGUCGAGGCCGUGGUCGAGGCCGAGGUAGUACUCAAGCUGGAUCUUCGUCUUCUGAACACAUACCCGCUGGAGUAGCACAACCACCACUGGUGGAUGAGAAUCGGCUGUAUGAUCUGGCCGCGGGGGAUGACGCUCUGUCCCAAGCCAUGUUAAGAGUUUUGGAAAUGGUGGCCGGAGCUAAUAUCGGGCCUAUGAAAAGGGGUUUAUUUUUGAGCGACUCUGGGCUAACGGAGCGGAAGUUUUUAGGGGUGUAUCUGGAGUAGCCCCAAAUGUGGCUGAGUACUAACUGGAAGCCACGGAGUGGAUUAUGGAUGACUUGGACUGCUCAGUGGAGCAAAAGUUAAAAGGAGCAGUAUCCUUACUACGAGAAGAGGCGUAUCAAUGGUGGAUCACUGUGAGAGAGGGUACCCCAGCUGAGAGGGUAACUUGGGAGUUGUUUAAGCAGUCCUUCAAGGCGAAGUAUGUCGGAGCAAGCUAUGUGGAUGCACGAAGGAAGGAAUUCCUGAACCUGACCCAGGGUGGUAAGACCGUUGCUGAAUAUGAGGCAGAGGUUUGGGUUUUUAAAUGUAAUAAGGCCGCUUAAUUAUUUUUGAUGGUUUUAAUAUGUAUUACUAAGAUAGGUAUUACUUAUUUUAACUGUUGAAAUUGGAUAGCUUUAGGGCGCGUUUUCAGAAAAAAAACAACAAUUGAUUUCAAAAUAACACGACAACAAGCAAAGCUUCCGCAAUGAAAGUAUUUUCCAAAAUUAAUCACUUUUCCUAAAAAUGACUUAAUCAAAUCGGUUUCCUAGAAAUAUACAUGAUGUUAAGGUGUGGCAAUGGCGGUGUGCAUGUCUAGGAUUGGAUCCGAAGGGAGCUUGGUACUUAAGUAGUCCGAUAGACUCACCUCCUCUUUUUCGGUUUCCUACCUGGUGCACAGCUUCCAUUCACUUUAACUUAUAAUGAAAUUAUCUUUUAAAACACUAAGUAGGUUUUUCUGGAUCAACAAUAUAAAAUGUUUUGAACGCUUUGAUGUGGCAUGUCGAAUCCGGCCAUAACGUUUGGGCCGGGUUUGGGGUAUUACACAAAUCCCCUUAUUUUUAGGCUAGAGAAUAAAAAAAAGGUUAAUACUAGUACUUUUAGUUCCUGUGGGUUCGACAUUCUGGUCUUUCUAUAAGCUAUACUAUUGUUCGAUAGGUGUGCUUGCCUUUAUCGUGAUAAUAGUUAGUUUUCAAGUACGAUCAAUCAUAAAUAUAAAACUUAUUAUGCACGUCAUGGAGUGUUAUUUUUCUUUAUCGUCCACAACCGUAUCUUCUUCCUCAUUAAUGCCAUGAUUUUUUUAGGAACAUCCAUUGUCAGGUUUUCUGCGCUUCGCCUCAUAUUUAUUUGAUCAAGAUUUCUUAACUUGGAAAUUAAACCCCCCACACUUAAGAUGUACAUUGUCCUCAAUGUACAAAGAUAGAUAUAUAGAAAAGAAUAUAAACAUAAGAUAGGGAGAGAAGUGAAACUUCCUGAGUGAUGAAUGAAUUCUUUGAGCUGGAGUUUUGGAAAAUAAUCGGCGUGAGGAUGGAGGAGGAUACUGCAGUGGUGGUAGAGGUUCAUUAGUCCAUAAGUUCUGCACCAAAGAAUAUUAUAUCUGGUGGUAGCUAUGGUCGUGGUCGAGCAGGACAUGGCAGUCGUGGAGAACCUUUCCCGGUGGAGUUUUUAGUUCCUAUGUGAUGAUGAGCUGAGGAGCUCUUUAUAACUGUGAUAGAAUUAGGAACUCUUUUAGAAAAUAUAUAAGGAAGAAUAAUUACUCGAUAGUAAAUAGCCAAAAUACAAAAUUGUUAAAUAAAAAUUAUAAAACCUAAUAAAAAUAAGCUUAAUGAAAAACAAAAAGUAUUCUUAAAGUAGAAUAAAAGUAAAAACAUAAAAUAAUAAAUAUAAGUUUUUAAACAUCUUCAUCGCUAGAUGGUUCACGAGGUGGGAGUGGCGAUGAGAUGUGGAAGUGCUGAAAAAUCUGGUGUAGUGUAGCAUCAAUGUGAUGGAAGUGCUGAAAAUACUACUGCUCGAAUCGAGUUAGGCGCUCAGAGAUGUCAGCGUAUGAAGCCGCCGCAUGAACUGGACGAGAGGGUGGUGGUGGCUAAAACAGUGGGUCCUCAUGACAUUGAGGGACAUCAUCGGUAAUGUCCUCGAGGUCCUCCUCCUCGGUGGAUUGGGCGAGACAGUACUGAAGAGGGAAGGUGCCAUGUCGCUUCUCGAUCAUCCUCAUACUUAGCAUGCUCGAGAUGCCCUGUGGGUACAUUUGGCCCAUGAGAGUGAGGGAGGAUGAUUGGGUUGCUAUGUUGAGAAGCCCGAAGUGCCGAGCCAACCGCGUCACAUAGGGCCCAAUGGAGAUGACCCCCUUCCUAUGCCGCUCCAUCUAAUGUUGAAUGACGGGGGCAAUGAAAUAAGCAAGGUCUAUGACAUGCCCGUGUGACAUACACCAUAGAAAGUAGGCGUCGUGAGUGUUGACGACGCCAGUGCUCUCUCGCCUUCCUGUUAACGUGUGAGCCAAAAUGGCGUGUAAGUACCUCAAAGAUGGAGGGAGAGCUGAUGCCUUGGAGCGGCUAGGAUUGUAAAAGGCAGCGCCAGGGGUAAGGGCGUUCCAACACCGUGAAGGAGAGUGAUGGAUGUGGCAAUUAAGAGCGUGGAGUUCAGUCUCCUCCAUGAACAAUUUCAGUUAUAAGAAGAUCAAUUACCAAGUGUUGGUAAUUAUCUUGAGUAAUUAUCCUACAAAAUAUGUCAUAAACAAGUGUCAUUAUAACUUCAAAUACUCUAAUCAAGAUAAUGAUAAUGAUAUGGAUAAGAAUCUUCAGCAAAUCAAACCUUAACCUUCUUUUUCAUGUUAGUCGAAUGGAUGAGGAUAAUUAAUUCAUAUUCUAGCAUGGAAUUCUCCUCAUUUGCUAGUUAACUAUAUGCAAUCAAGACUCAUGAAAUAGUUAAACAUGCCAACCAAAGAAUUUUGACUACACCAUAAAUGUUGUUAUAUCUGUCGUUUGGAUAAGAAAUGGAAGUUUCCAACACUUGGAUUUUCCAAAGUUGAUGAUAAGGAAAGUACAUAGAUGUUCCUUUGUUGCAUCAUUGGGUCACGAAGGAUGCGUAUGGUUAUAUUAUCAGUUAGGUGAAGGAUAAGCUAGCUGGAUGAAAAUCACGUACACUUUAGCUAAUAGGAAGGAAUAUGCUUGCGAAGUUAGUUUUUGCUGCCAUUCCAUUUUAUACCAUGCGGACAAUGAAUUUCAAAAGGCAUGUGUGUGGAUAUUGAUAGUGUCGAAACCAUUUUUUUGAAAACGGGCAUCGAAUUUGUUCGAAAGAGAAGAUUAAAACGGGAGUCGCCACCGAUCUUUAUUUGGUGUGAUCGGAUCACCUUUGUUUUAAAAAAAACAAUUUUAGUUCACUAAAACGGCAUUUUGGUCUACGAAAUUCAAGAGAACAAGUUCGGGAGUCGGUUAUGUACGAGGAAGGAUUAGUACCCUCGACAUGCCCAAAAAUUGGUACCGAACUGAUUAAUUAGUGUCUUAAUGUCGAAAAUUAAAAAUCGGGAAUAGAUUUGUAAUACGAUCCUUUUUUAUUAACAUCGAUUUUAAAAUUCUUGAAUUAGCUCAAAACGAUUGUUAAAGAUUUCCUUAUCUCGAGAUAUCGGAGAAUCACAUCUCGUAAGUUAGGACGCAAUACCAUGAAUUCCCGAGCGUAAGGUCGUCUUUAAAUUAAAUUGGAACCCCGUGUAUUUUAAAACUCAAAAGGAUAUUUAGCUAUUUAGAAUCAAUAAGAGAACCGAAACCCCGUAUGUUAGGGCACAAUUCUUCGAUAUUCCAAAACGCGAAAUAUUGCCUCAUUUUGAAAUUUCAUUUUUUGAAUAGUAGUGAAUACGGUAUUUAAACGACGUAUGUUAUUUGUUUAGGUUAAAAUAAAGCGUUUUAUUGGAUAAAUGUAUUGGGGUUUAAUUCAUGAGGCGAUGAUAUGAAAAAAUAUAGUAAUGAAUGUGAGACAAAUACACAUGGACACAACAUUAUACAAAUGAAUAACAAUAAUGCAAACUUACGAAAUAAACGAAUCAACAUUCACAUUAUGGCAAUAAUCACACAAGCUACAUUAUUUAAAUAUUAACACUAACAAUUAAAGACAAAUGAAUUUAAUAAUAAUUUAAAAGGUAUAAAGCAAAUAAAAAUGAAUAAGAUGUAAAGCAAUUUUAAAAUGAUAAUAGAUGAGAUUAAAAUAAUGUGAAAAAAAGGAGAUUUAAAAUCGACAAUAUACAAAACAAUUUAAAAUAGAGGAUAUGUAUAUAUAUAAUAUUAAAAUAGGUAAUAUAUAUAUAAAUAUAUAUAAUAAAUACUUAAAAAAACUAAAAUGAACAAUAAUACAAUUUAAAACAAAUAAGAGAGUUUAAAAUAAAUAUUAAGAGGCUCAAAAUAAUAAUAUGUAAAAAGAAAUUUAAAAUAAAUAAUAUAUAAAAAAUUUUAAGUAAAUAACAUAUAAAACAAUUUAAAUUAAAUAUUAUACAUGAAAAUUUAGAAUAGAACAUAUAUAAAAUAAUCUAAAGUAAAGAAUAUGUUAAAAUAAAUAAUACGUGAGAAAUAAAAAAAUGAAUUUUAAACGAUUAGAGUAGUGUAGACGAAUAAAGUAUGAAAGGAAACUUAAAAUGGAUAAUACAUAUACAACCGUUUAAAACAAAUAACGUAUAAAAAUAUUUAAAAAUAACUAAUAUGUAUAGUAGUUAAAACAAAUAAUAUAUGUAAAAAUAUUUAAAAUCUAUAACAAUUUACAAUACAUAAGACGUAAAAAGGAUUACGAUAACUAAUAAUAAAAUGUUCUAAUAUAAAUAAUGUAAGAUAAACAAACUUAAAAUAACUAACAAUAAAACAGCUCCUAAAAAGUUGAAAUAAUAAAUAAAUGAACAAAUUAAAUAGAUUAGGACUAAGUUGAAAUUUAAUUAAAAUUUAAGAUGCAAAUUGUAAAAAAAUAGGCCACUAAGGACCGAAGUGAAAUGUGCAUAAAGAACGAGGGACUGAUUGGGAAAAUAUUCCCGCCCUCCAUGCGCAGUGUUUCAAACGGGACCAAAUUGAGAUGAGAGCAAAGAACACGGGAUCAAAAUUAAAAAAAAAAACGCAAAAGAAAGAAUAAAAUGGGGCAAAUUGAAAACAAGAGGCAAAACAGAAGGACCCACAGCGCAAAUAUCCCAUUUGAGCUUUAAAAACACGCGGAUCGCCCCAUUAAUCGGGUCGGGUCGCGGGUUCCCUCUCUAAAACGACCCCGUUUUGAGGCGUGUGGGGAAGGUAGUAAAACGCUGUCGUUUUACUCUGCUAUUAAAGCCCAUUUUUAUUUUAUUUUUUUUAAUUUUAGCAACAUCUAAAAAAAAAGUUAAUAAAGAGUUCUCAUUGCUCUCCCUUCACUCCUAUGACCGGCGAUAGGGUUUCCUGGUGUCCAUUGCGCCGCCGUUGUGGGCCAAUGGCCGGCGUUGCGCGAAUGGGAUUUUUUCAGCUCCGAGGAGGCCAACGGAGGUGAGUACCCUCCCUUUUCUACUCUUUCGUUUUAUUUUUUAUUCCAAAAAAAUAUAAAAAAAAAAACAAAAGCAACAGAUAUUUAAGAGCAAAAAUGAAAUAGAAGAGGAAUCACCUUCUAAAGUUUUGGUUUUUAUUGAUUUUUUGUAUUAGAUUUUCUUUGUUUUUUUUUUGUGUUAAAAACUGAUUUUACAAAAAAGAAUAAAAAAUAAAGGAUAAAAAAAAUAAAGAAACGGAGAUAAAAAGACGAGAGAAUGAAGUUCAACCUUUUUGUUUUUUGAUUGCUUAAAUUGUGUCCUUUACAAUAUUUCGUGUUUGUGGCUAUAUAGCUGAAUACAAAAAUGCUUUAGUAUAUUCAUUGCUAUUGUUUUGCUUCGUUUCUGCUUUUUGCUUUCUUUUUGUUUCUGUUUUUGCAGACUUAGAGGGUCAACGAGGGUGAAAACAUGCCAUUUUGAUGCGAGGAAGCAGCCAUUGAGAGGAUGGUAUGCUGUCAGAGGCACGUGGGGUGCGGGGCAACCGAGGCUGCGGCGAUGGAGUGGAUGGGAACCCUAGGGUUUCCUGAAAAUUUCAAAUAUUUUGGGCCAAUCGGGCCUUGUGAUGUUGGGCUCAAGAUUUUGGGUUGUGUUUUGGGUCUUAAUUGGGCUGAUGGUUUAGGUUAGGUGUUGGGUCUUUUAAUUGAACUAUAAACAUUUUGGGCCCGGGCAAAAUUUGGGUCCUACAGCUGCCCCUCUUUGCUCAUUGUCGUGUAAUGGGAAUGGAGCAAAGACUAUAAGAGGGCCAAUUUUGCCUGGAUCCACUGAGUGGCGCUUUUUUUUCUUUGAGUAGCUUCAAUAUGCCCUACUCCAAUCAGCUCUACUGCAACUCCAGGGAGAUAAGACUUGUUAUUUCAACCUGUUUCACUGCAACUUUAGGGAGGCAAAGGUUUGUGAUCUAUAGCUUCGAUUUACUCCACUGCAACUUCAGGGGGUAAGAUUUGUAACUUCAACCUGCUUCGCUGCAACUUCAGGGAGACAAGGUUUGUUUUGAUUUGUUCUACUGCAACUUCAGAGAGAUAAGAUCUGUAAUUUAUGGCUUCAAUCUGUUCCACUGCAACAUCAGAGAGGCAAAGGUUUGUGAUCUAUAGCUUCGAUGUACUCCACUACAACUUCAGGGGGUAAGAUUUGUAACUUCAACAUGCUCCGCUGCAACUUCAGGAAGACAAGGUUUGUUUUGAUUUGUUCUACUGCAAUUUCAGAGAGAUAAGAUCUGUAAUUUAUGGCUUCAAUCUGUUCCACUGCAACUUCAUAGAGAUAAGACUUGUUUUGAUCUACUCUACUGCAACUUCAGGGAAAUAAGAUUUGCUAUCUCCAGUCUGCUCCACUGCGACUUUAGGGAGAUAAGACUUGUAACUUCAACCUACUCCGCUACAUCUUCAAGGAGAUAAGGUUAGUGGCCUCGAUCUGCUUCACUGCAACUUCAGGAAGAUAAGAUUUUCCAUCUUCGUAGCUUCAAUCGAUCUUGUUACGUUGUCCUCUGAGGGAUAUGACUCGUAAAAUUGAUUUCUUGAGCCUAUGCUUAUGCCAAAUGAUUAGGAUGUCAUGAAUGAAUCAAAUUCCCCAACCAGAUGUGUAUAGGUGAUGUUUGAAUGAAAGCAAAAAUGUUAUUUUCUUUUAAUGCUUAAUUUGAUAUUACUCGUUGUUCAUCGAGGUUUUAUCACUGACGUAUUACUCUCCCCUUUUUCUUUAGCUGGUAUCUUUUUAAGAAUAAUCACAAUUUGGGCUAUUCUUUUCCAAUGUCUCCUUGAAUUUGGGUAAUUCAAAUUAAUUAGUCCCGUUUCAAGUCCUUAUUUCAUUUAAAAUCAUUUCAGAGUAAUAUGCAGAACUCAUUUUGGAUGUCAUUAGUCCAUUAAUCGUUAUUUCAAUGAAAAGUGCUUGAAAAAGAUUAUCGCAAUGGACAAGACGGAAUUUUAUUGAGAAAGAGCUUGAAAUGAAUAAUAUAAUCAAGAUAGCAAAUUCGCUAAGAUACAAACUGAAUAAAAAAUAAAAAAAAUAGGUGCCUCGGAUAUCGUAACAUGAGCUUCUCUGCCCAAAACUUCUUGAGGACCCUUUAAAUUUGAUAUGUGUUUAGAAGACCAAGAGUACUUUGUUCAUGCCCCAAGAUGUAGCAUCCCUCCUUCUUGUUAAUUUAGAGAAGACAAAAUUACUGUAUGCCCCAUUUCAAUCAAAACUUGAAUUGCCCAUUCCUGGGUUUUUAACUCAAAAACCUUUUGGUCUCAAAGUGCCCUUUUUGCGGGUUUUCGCCUUAGCCUUUCCUUUUUUUAGGUAAAGUACCUCUUGACUGAAUCUGAAUUCACGGGGUUAGGCAAGCUUUUGCCAUCCAUCUCAGUCAAGAUCAGAACUCCUUCAGAGAAAGCUUUCUUCACCAUAUAAGGUUCCUCCCAAUUUAGCAUCCAUUUUCCUUUGAAGUCCUUUUGUAUGGGAAAAAUCUUUUUUAGAACAAGGUCUCCUUUACAGAAUUCUCUAGGGAUAACCUUCUUGUUAUAAGCCAGCAUCAUUCACUUUUGGUACAUUUGACCAUGACGAAUAGCUUUCAACCUCUUUUCUUCAAUUAAGUUCAACUGGUCGUACUGCGAUUGGAUCUAUUCUUCUUCAUCUAACUUUAGUUCUGAUAGGACUCGUAGAGAAUGAAUUUCAACCUCAAUAGGCAAGACCGCCUCCAUUUCAUAAACCAAAAAGAAAGGUGUUGCCCCGGUGGAGGUUCUGACUGACGUUCGGUAGGCGUAGAGGGUGAAUGGUAAUUUCUCGUGCCAAUCUUUAUAAGUCUCAGUCAUUUUUCCCAUGAUUUUCUUGAUAUUCUUAUUGGAUGCUUCCACCGCACCAUUCAUCUUUGAGCGAUACGGUAACGAGUUAUGGUGUUUGAUCUUGAAUUGGCUACAGACCUCUGCUAUCGUGUUGUUGUUCAAGUUCAGUGCAUUGUCGGAUAUGAUCCUCUCAGGCAUCCCAUAUUGACAUAUAAUCUCCUUUUUUAAGAACUUGUUGACUACCGAUUUCGUGACGUUGGCAUAAGAAGUGGCUUCUACCCACUUGGUGAAGUAAUCGAUGACCACAAAGAUGAAUCGAUACCCGUUAGACACUUUUGGCAAGAUUGGCGCGAUGACGUCCAUGCUCCACAUGAAGAAAGGCUAUGGAGAAGUCAUGACAUGAAGAGGUGAAGGAGGUACAUGAAUCUUAUCUCCGUAGAUUUGGCACUUAUGACACUUUUUUUCACAAUUGAUGCAAUCCCCUUCUAUAGUGGACCAAUAACAUCCAAAUCUCAUGAUUUGUCUGGCCAUUGUAAAACCAUUAGCGUGUGUUCCGUAGACACCCUCAUGGACCUCUUCCAAUAUCUGCUUAGCUUCGAGAGGGUCCACAUAUCUUAAGAGUACCUGAUCCUUCCUUCUUUUAUAUAGGAUCUCUCCGUCCAAGACAUAGUCACUGGCUAGCCUUCUCAAUGUCCUUUUAUCAGUUUCUGUCGCUUGGUCUGGGUAUUCACGAUUCCUCACGUAUCGUAAUAUAUCCUGAUACCAAGGGUGAUCGUCCUUUUCUUCUUCUUUUUCGAUGUUGUAAUAAUGAGCCAGAGCCUCAUAGAUACUCAUUUGGAUAGGCUUCACAUCCUCCUGUUUAUUUACUUCGAUCAUUGAAGCUAAAGUUGCCAAUGCAUCAACCAUCUAGUUUUCAUCUCGUGGGAGGUAACAGAAAGUGAUAUCGUCAAACCCCUCAAUUAACUCUAGAACCAGCCUUCGGUAAUUGAUCAACUUAGGGUCUCUUGUCUCCCAUUCACCUUUGAGCUGAUAGAUCACUAAUGCCGAAUCCCCGUAUACUUCUAACAUAUUGAUUUUACGUUCAAUGGCCACACAGAUUCCCAUGAAGGCAUGCCUCGUAUUCUGCCAUAUUAUUUGUGUAAUCAAAAUCCAAUUUACUAGUAAAGGGAUAAUGAUCUCUAUUUGGGGAUACCAUAACUGCCCCGAUUCCAUUACCCACAGCAUUUGAGGCUCCGUCAAAAUUCAGUCUCCAAGGAUGAUCUUCUUUAGAGUAUUCUUCCGUGGUCACAACGUACAUUAAGUCUUCAUUUAGAAAAUCAAAACUCAAAGGCUCAUAAUCUUCUAGAGCCCUAUUGGUAAAAAAAUCUGCUAUCGCACUCCCUUUUAUAGCCUUCUGGUUCACAUAGACUAUGUCGAAUUCAGAAAGCAAAAUUUUCCAAUGAGCCAUUCUUCCGUUCAAAACAUUUGACUAAAUCAUGUACUUCAGAGGGUCUAGUUUUGAGAUAAGCCAAGUUUAUGGUACAACAUGUACUGUCUCAGUCUUCGGGUUGUCCAGAUCAAAACACAACACAAUUUCUCGAUCGGCGAAUAUCUUGUCUCGCAUUCAGUGAACUUCUUGCUAAGAUAGUAUAUCACCUUUUCUUUUCUUCCUGACUCAUCAUGUUGGCCUAACACGCAUCCCAUGGAGUUCUCGAACACUGCCAAAUAUAGUAUCAGUAGUUUAUCUAGGCAAGGUGGCAUCAGCACCGGGGCAUUAGACAAGUAAUGCUUGACUUUAUCAAAAGUUCUUUGGCACUCUUCAUCCCAUACACCUGGGUUGUGUUUCCUAAGGAGGUAGAAUAUCGGGUCACAUUUCUCCGUUAGUUGUGAAAUGAACCGGGCAAUGUAAUUUAGCCUUCUUAGGAAACCUCGAACUUCUUUUUGAGUGCUUGGCAGAGGUAAUUCUUGUAUGGCUUUGACUUUAUCUAGGUUGAUUUCGAUCCCCUUUUCACUGACUACGAAUCCUAAUAGCUUUCCUGACUUGGCGCCAAAGGUACAUUUCGUAGGAUUGAGCUUUAACUGGAACUUUCUUAAUCUUAAAAAUAGUUUCUUCAAGACUUUUACGUGCUCCUUUUCUGUUUUGGAUUUCGCAAUCAUAUCAUCGACGUAAACUUCGAUUUCCUUAUGCAUCAUGUCAUGGAACAGAGUUACCAUGGCUCUCUGAUAUGUUGCUCCUCCGUUCUUUAGUCCCAGUGGCAUCACCUUAUAACAGAACGUUCCCCACAUGGUCAUGAAUGUGGUCUUUUCUAUGUUUGUAGAAUGCAUCUUUAUCUGGUUGUAUCCCGAGAAUCCAUCCAUGAAGGAGAAAAGUGAGUAACCUGCCGUGUUAUCCACUAAUGUAUCAAUGUGAGGUAACGAAAAAUUGUCUUUUGGGUUGGCUUUGCUCAGAUCUCGAUAGUCCACGCACAUCCGUACUUUUCUAUCUCAGAUCUCGAUAGUCCACGCACAUCCGUACUUUUCUAUCUUCCUUAGGAACUGGGACUAUAUUGGCUACCCAUUCUGAGUAUUUAACCACUUGUAAGAAACCGGCGUCGAAUUGUUUCUUGACCUCCUCCUUUAUCUUCAACAAAACAUUAGGUCUCAUUCUUCGGAGUUUCUAUUGGACUGGCUUGCACCCUUCCUUUAAGGGAAGUCAAUGUACCACGAUAUCGGUAUUCAACCCGGUCAUGUCUUGAUAUGACCAUGCGAAGACAUCCUUAAAUUCUUGUAGUAACUCAACGAGGUCUCACCUUGUUUCUGCGGUGAUAAAUUCCAAUCUUCACCUCUCUUCCCUCUCCUAAGCUCACAAUUUCCAUUGACUCCUUGUGAGGUAAGAUUUGUUUCUCAUCUUGUUCUACCAUUCUUAACAAAUCCGGAGAUAAGUUAUAGUUUUGGUCAUCUUCAAAAUCUUGAGAAUCUUCUGUACACAUAUCUUACUCAAAAGGAGACUUUGAGUCAGGAGCAGUAUUACUCAUAUCGUUGAUAUCUGGAGACCUGUUAUAGAGAUGAAGAAAAGUCCAAAGAACGAAAGAAUCUAAGAAUAUUUAUUGGUGGUAUGAUUAUGAAUGAAAUGGAAAGAAUAAAAGAAUAUUUGCUCAAGAUAAUACGCAAAGAUGCAUUCUUAUUAAAAUAACGAUAUUGGAUAAGAGCCUAUUUUACAAAAGGAUUCUUAUUGCCCCUAGGCUUAGAGCAAUAAGCUUGUUUUGGACAUUACUCUGAAUUAAUUUUAAAAGUUACAGGGAUCUCCUCCGCGGUCCAAUUGUUUAAGACGCUCCCAGGCGCAUAUGGGCAAAUGCCUACUUGAUUCUCUUCUCUCGUUUCUUCCUCGGAUAUGGCAUUAAUGCUCAAAGUAGCCUCUUUCCCUGUCGAUUUUCCUUCAGAGUAAAUGGUCCCUCCCGACACGAAUGUUCUAGAUAUAUGAGGAAAGAUCAUGGGCUCCCAUUUGACCUCCUCUCCGUUUAAACGCACUCUUCUUCUCUCUUGCCUUUUCUCUAUUUCCUUUUUCUUUUACCUUGCAUCUGGUUUGUACCCUAAGCUAAAAAGGUCUCGUUUAUCCGUAAGCAUAGGUGUCUUGAUCCUUCCUUGUAAGCUUCUUCCAAGCCCCUUUCCAGGUAAAGCCCCUUUCCAGGUAAAGCUCCUUUCCUAACCGUCAGUUGUAAGCCCAUCCUGGUAGUUUUGGAGAUUUUUGGGCACCGGGACCUUGUUCCCUUCGACGACGAAAGUUGCAUUCACAAAUUCUAGUGAUCAGAAAGAACAUUCUAUUACUUCACAUAUGUCCCCACAUAUGGUGCCUCACUGUAAUGGAGGUAAUGAUAUCCUCUUCCGCGUUUACAGUCACCAGUCGGCCUUCUGUUAUAAAUUUGAGCUUUUGAUGUAAAGAUGAUGGCACUGCCCCCACUGAGUGAAUCUAGGGCCUCCCCAAUAAGCAAUUGUAAGAAGUUUGAAGUCCAUUACUAAGAAAUCCACCUCAUACGUGCUUGGACCGAUCAAAAGGGGUAUUUCAAUCCUUCCUAUUACUUUUCUCUCGGUGCCAUCAAACACCCUUACUAUAUUUUGGCAUGUCUUGAUAUGAGAACUAUCUACUGGCAACCUAUUCAGUGUGGAUAGGGGUAAGACAUUUAGUGUAGACCCAUUGUCAAUCAUACUCCUGGUAGUGUAUGUCCUUUACAGCGGGUGGUGAUGUGUAGCGCCUUUGUUAACCCCAUUCCCCCUAGCGGUAUUUCAUCAUUAUUGAAAAAUAUGAAAUUAUCGGUGCUUAUAUUAUUGACGAGUUGGUCCAGCUUGUUAACAGAGAUAUCAUCUGUGACGUAAGUUUCGUUUAGUACCUUCAUUAACGUGCUCCGAUGUGUCUCUGAACUCAAGAGUAAAGCUAGCACCGAGAUGCGAGCCAAUUGCUUAUGUAACUGUUCAACCACGCUGUACUCACUAUGCUUAAAGAACUUUAGGAAUUCUUUAGCUUCAUUCUCGGUUAUUGGCUCGUUGAUUGGCGAUUCGAGCCUGACCGUCUUUUCCUUCCUUUGUUCGACCACUAGGGUCUUUCCUUUAACAGUUUCAGUUCCUGUACGCGCGGGAUCAUAACGUCUCCUGCUGCGUGUAUAGAAACCUACAUCUUGGUUCUCCCUUGAAGCGCUAGCCGGGUUCUCCCUACCCGGGAUCGUCACGUUGCAGUCGUAAUUCUAGGGAACCCUUUUACUAUCCUUGUAAGGGAAGGAUACCGGAUUCUGGAUUAUGACUCUCGACGCCAUUUGUACUUCUGCUUCAUUGUUCUUUGGUCGCGAAAUUAUCACCACAGGAUGAUUAUCUCUUUAAACCCAUUUUGUUGUUAUUUUCUAUGAGGCAAAACCUCUCAUUCUUCUGGUCAUUCGAUUUCUUCGCAAAAUUCCAUAUCCUUAUUAUCCAUCAGAUUUUGCACUAUAGACCUGAACUUAUUGCACUCUUGGAUGUCAUGGCCUUCAUCAUCAUGAACCUCACAGUAUCUUCUUGCUUCUCUGAGCCUUGAAUCUUGUGUGACUAAACCUUUUUCCACCAUCAUCUUCCAAACCCAUUUCAACAGGAUUUUUACCUUUGAUACAUCUAUCUUGGUUUUCCUCCUUCCCUUUUCAAUUUCGCGUUUACCCCUUUGUCUGAAUGACUAGGUAGCGGAUUCCCUGCCAUAUUAGGUCCUAUGGGCUCAUCGAAUUUCACAACGCCUAUUCCUAUGAGCCUUUCGACUACCUUUUUGAAGGCAGUGUAAUUCUCAAUCGUGUGUCCUGAGAUUCCGGCAUGGUAUUCUCAUUGAGCGUUUGCGUCAUACCACUUAGGGAAUGGAGGUUGCAGGGGUUUCAAGUAGUAAGGUGACACCAUAUGGGCAUCGAAUAAACUCUGAUACAACUCCCCGUAUGACAUUUGGAUAGGCGUAAACUAGACUCUUUCUGUGUUAGGCCUCGGGUUUGAAUCUUGUCUUGUAGAUCCUUGAUGGCUGGUAGUCACUGUCUUUGGUUGGCUCACAGUGACUGGCUUGGAAUAACUCUUAUUGUAUACGCUCGCGUUGUUCACCUCAUUUUCUUUCCUUUUCGAAGCUGAUCUUUUGGCAUUUUCCCCUGUUUCGAUCUUUCUGCAUCUUAUCGCGUUUUCUAUCAUCUCUCUUGACAUUACUAUGUCUGAGAAACUCUUAUUAGCGCUUCCCAACAUGUGGUUGAUAAAUGGAGCUUUCAGAGUGUGGAUAAAGAGUAUAGUCGUUUCUUUCUCCAGAAGAGGUGGUUGGACUUGCAUCGCCACCUCUCUCCAUCUUUGGGCGUACUGCCUGAAGCUCUCAUUUUGUUUCUUCUCCAUGUUUUAUAACGUGAUUCGAUCGGGUGCUAUGUCUGUCACGUAGCCAUAUUGCUUCAUGAAAGCUUGUGCCAAGUCAUUCCAUGAGUGGAUUUGCGCGAGACUUAGUUUGUUGUACCAUUUGGCCGCAGACCCGACCAAACUGUCUUGGAAGGAGUGGAUCAAUAAUUGAUCAUUAUGAACAUACCCUGCCAUUCUUCGACAAAACAUGGUGAUGUGGGCCUCUAGAUAACUAGUUCCAUUGUAUUUUUCAAAGUCUGGGAUUUUGAACUUAGGAGGGAGGACUAGGUCUGGGACCAAGCUCAAAUCUUUAGCAUCGAUCCCACAAUGAUAAUCAGCACUUUCCAUCACUCUGAACUUUUCCUCUAACCACUUGCAUCAGUCUUUCAAAUCUUUUGAGAGCCCCGUACUCACUCUUUCUUCUUCUACCAUGUUAUCUAGAUCAGAGAUUAUAGGAUUAACAGGGUUAUCCCCGAGAUUAGAGCCUGAGCCCGUUUGAUAAUUGAUUGGCAUCGAGGUAUCAGCCUGAAAUUACUGAGGCCUGAUCGUAACGGAUGGUCUUUGCAUGUGUAGCUCGGGUUACGUUUAAGCAUUCAUCGGGGUGAAACCAGGAGGUAGAGGGGAUCUUCAGUAAUGGAUGGCCUCUGCGUGCGUGUUUCAUGCUGUGUUUGGGCAUUUGCCGGGGUAAAACCAGGGGGUAGGGGAAUCUCCAUUUUUAUUUCCCAUAUCGGCCAUAGGGCCCUUUCUUUUGUCUGGCCUACUAGUCAGUAGUCGGGUUAGCUCUUCCAUCAUAUUUCUUUGGGAUUCCAGCAUCUGGUCUCUCAUUUCCUGCUGGAUUUUUGCUAACUAUUCUUGCACUUGUGCUUGCAUCUACUCCUGCAUCUCUUUCUGCAUUUGCUCUAGUCUCUCUAGUUUUUUAUCCGUUGCUUUAGUUUUUCUUCUUGUACUGUAGGGAUGUGUAUUUGGGAGAUUUUCGUCAGUUUCCAGAUUACUGAAAAAUUUUAAUUAAUUAAGGUCUUUUCAUGAAAUUUAAUGCAUAUGAUGAAAUGUAAUGCAAAUGAAUGAAUGCAAAAAGAGGUGUUGAUUCUAAUUCAAUUUAAUUAGAACAACUUUACUAGAAGAAAAUUUUCUUUACAUAGAACGGAUGGUUACAUAUACGACUUUGCCCUAAUGCCCAAAGCCUUAACCUUCCUAAGAAGCCAAGCUAAGUUUCGGCCUCGAUCUGAUUCUGACUCAUAUUUUAGGCUUAAUACAUCAGCCUGAACUGCCAAGGUUUGCAAAUGAUAGGCUAUCUCUCGAAUUUGAGCCACAGCUUCACCCAUGACAUAAUCUCUACUUCUGAUUUGAUCUUGAGAGUGGUGAAGUUGUUCUUUGCAAUGUUCAUUGUUUGCCACAAGGAAUUCCACUCGACAUUUACUAUCUUGUAGUGCCGCAUCGAGUUCCUCUAUCCAUCCUUUCAACUCCUCGAUUUUGCUUAAGUUGGUCUUUAACUCAAUUAUGGAGUUACGGUUACGAUGCAUAUGUAGCGAUUUUUCCAGUUCGACUAUCCGAGCUUGUAAUUUCUAUUUUUCGCUUUGGCUUUCUGACGAACUCUUUUUCAAAACAUCUUCCCGCAUUUGAACAUCUUGAAACAUCUUGAAACUUCUUCUCCCAGUGAUCAGCUCUAGCCUUUUCUCUUUCAAUUUCUUGACGCCACUGAUCCGACGUCUUACCCAAAUCGGCAGUUCUUAUUGACGUACGCAGCUUCUUAUAAUCAGUCUUCAGACUAUCCAAGUCCUCUUCAGCUUUAUUUUUCCCUUUCCUUAGCUUCUCAGCCUCUAGCUUGUGGAUGUCGACAUCUAAUCCUAGCCGCAUCUUUUCCUCCUCUAAUUGCUCUAUCUUCUUUCCCAAUUCUGAGCUCUUUUUCUCAAAGUCUUGCUUGAUGAUUUCUAGCUCGGAUGGGACUACUUGUAAAUACUCUUCUAUUGGUCGGGCAUUUUCCUGACUUAGCAUUGGGAUGUUGUUGUUGACUCUUUUACCCCACCACCGGUCAUACUCAGGGGUCGUCAUUGGACCUGCCGUGAAUCCUUUCAUUCUUCGUGUUUGGUUCCAAGCAUCUGAUAUCUCACGAACCUUCUUCUUAUAAUUGUUGUCUUUAUAGGAGAACUCACAUUGUUCCAACCCUUGUAUCGUUAGUCUAAACUGUCUUGAUCGAUAUUGCCGUAACACGAGUAAUGGAGCGUAUCCAACGGCUCCCUAUAUUCUAGCCAGAGGGACCCAGUCAAAAUCACCGCACCGAUAUAAGAUCCCGUCGGGGAUCAACCAUGGAGCCCUCCAUUCAACAUCUUCGACUCGUAAAUUCUGGAGAAUAGUUAUCCAUUUCCUUUCUGAGAUGUUGUCUCGCCUCGAUGUAGCCACUAACUCUCUUAAUGGGGAAUAGUCCUUGGAGAAAACCCGAUAAGAGACUUUUUCUACCUUCCAAAAAUGGCUAUGGAACCAAGCCAAUAGAAGCUGUGCACAACCAAUAAAUCUUCCUUCGUCUGCUCUCCGACAUGCAUUCAAGGAUCUGAAAGUUUCUGCUAGGAUUACCGGGACGGGUGUGGUCCCUUUAUUAAGGCGAUCGAAUAAAUCCGAGACGACUUCCUCUACAUGUCCUAAUGCCUUAGGAAAGAUAAUCAAACCGUAAAGGCUUAAGGCGAAAACGUCAACCCUCUUUUUCAUAUCCGGAUGUACUAAGAUUAAGUCCAUCAAAUUCCUCCAAUACUAUCCAUUUUUUUCUUGAUCCGAGUUGCAACCCAUUGUUCGCUCAUCCCCGUGGUAUUCAUCAAUUUCUUCAAAAAAUUCAGGACAUUAACAGGUCUUGAAUAGGCCCUGUCGGCCUGAAUCUUCGGGCAAUUAAGUAACGCCAUGUAUUCUUUUACAGUAGGUACUAAAUCGACUCCUCCGAAGGUGAAGCAACUGUAGGCGGAAUUCCAGAACUGCACGAGGGCUCGAAACAAGUAUUUGUCCACCUUUACAUCGAGCAGAUAGGGUAGGUCACCGUAAUUACAGUAAAAGAGUUGCUUGACCUUAUUAUUCCAACUAUUCCAUAUAUCCUUUAAUUCUUACAGGUCGUUCUAAGUCACACUGAUGCGAGUGAAAUCCCACAACUCCGAUUCAUAUCCGCCGGUCAAACUAUCUCCUUUCUCUUGUUGCGUUAUCUCAAACCACACUUGGACGGCCACAUUAUCCUCCACUCUAUCAAGAAAUCUUUUUUCCAUGCUAAACUUUUCUAUCUAGUAACCGAAUGUGAAUCAACACCUUUUUAUGAUGAGAUGCCAUGCAAUAAUAGCAAAAUACAACAAGUCAGUAUUAAAACAAAGAAUAAAACUCAAAGCAAACAGGAAAUAAUUAAGCACCUAAUCAGGUAACCACUAGGGUUUAGUGUGUUUCUAGGGUAGGCUCUUAGGGCUCAUUACAUGUGGUUCGAUUCUAAAGUAAAGGUACCUGAACCAGCAGAUUCUUCGAUCCUCACCCAUUAUAGGCUCAUAUGGGCCGAGUUCGAUUUAGAGGAAUACAUUUCCCUACGGCUAUACGGAGAUGAAAAUCUCACGAAGACGCAAGUACGGAUGUAUCCAGAAAGCGAUCCACUAUCCUAUACGGAGGUGAAGACCUCACGAAGGAGUAGUUUCUCACUUCCACUUAAGAGGUAAAAUUGACUGAUUAUGCAGUAUGAUGCGCAAAAGUAUACUUAAAAGAGUUAAACAGAAAGCCAAUCAUAAAAAAAAACAAAAACCACAAAGGGGAAAUGCCAUGAAAUGAUCGCAAGUUUAAAACGAAUUUUUAAUUUUUGACAAAGGACAAAAACUAAUCAAUUUAUGGCUCGACCUUUAGCAGAGUCGCCAGCUGUCAAACCAUUUUUUUGAAAACGGGUAUCGACUUUGUUCGAAAGUGAAGAUUAAAACAGGAGUCGCCACCGAUCUUUAUUUGGUGUGAUCGGAUCACCUUUAUUUAAAAAAAACAAUUUUAGUUUACUAAAACAACAUUUUGGUCUACGAAAUUCAAGAGAACAAGUUCGGGAGUCGGUUACGUGCGAGGAAGGAUUAGCACCCUCGACACGCCCAAAAAUUGGUACCGAACUGAUUAAUUAGUGUCUUAAUGUCGAAAAUUGAAAAUCAGGAAUAGAUUUGUAAUACGAUCCUUUUUUAUUUACAUCGAUUUUAAAAUUCUUGAAUUAGCUCAAAACGAUUGUUAAAGAUUUCCUUAUCUCGAGAUAUCGGAGAAUCACAUCCCGUAAGUUAGGACACAAUACCAUGAAUUCCCGAGCGUAAGGUCGUCUUUAAUUUAAAUUGGAACCCCGUGUAUUUUAAAACUCAAAAGGAUAUUUAGCUAUUUAGAAUCAACAAGAGAACCGAAACCCCGUAAGUUAGGGCACAAUUCUUCGAUAUUCCAAAACGCGAAACAUUGCCUCAUUUUGAAAUUUCAUUUUUUGAAUAGUAGUGAAUACGGUAUUUAAACGACAUAUAUUAUUUGUUUAGGUUAAAAUAAAACGUUUUAUUGGAUAAAUGUAUUGGGGUUUAAUUCAUGAGGCGAUGAUAUGAAAAAAUAUAGUAAUGAAUAUGAGACAAAUUAAAUAUUAUACAUGAAAAUUUAGAAUAGAACAUAUAUAAAAUAAUCUAAAGUAAAGAAUAUAUUAAAAUAAAUAAUACGUGAGAAAUAAAAAAAUGAAUUUUAAACGAUUAGAGUAGUGUAAACGAAUAAAGUAUGAAAGGAAACUUAAAAUGGAUAAUACAUAUACAACCGUUUAAAACAAAUAACGUAUAAAAAUAUUUAAAAAUAAGUGAUAUGUAUAGUAGUUAAAACAAAUAAUAUAUGUAAAAAUAUUUAAAAUCUAUAACAAUUUACAAUACAUAAGACGUAAAAAGGAUUACGAUAACUAAUAAUAAAAUGUUCUAAUAUAAAUAAUGUAAGAUAAACAAACUUAAAAUAACUAACAAUAAAACAGCUCCUAAAAAGUUGAAAUAAUAAAUAAAUGAACAAAUUAAAUAGAUUAGGGCUAAGCUGAAAUUUAAUUAAAAUUUAAGAUGCAAAUUGUAAAAAAAUAGGCCACUAAGGACCGAAGUGAAACGCGCAUAAAGAACGAGGGACUGGUUGGGAAAAUAUUCCCGCCCUCCAUGCGCAGUGUUUCAAACGGGACAAAAUUGAGAUGAGAGCAAAGAACACGGGAUCAAAAUUUAAAAAAAAACGCAAAAGAAAGAAUAAAAGGGGGCAAAUUGAAAACAAGAGGCAAAACAGAAGGACCCACAGCGCAAAUAUCCCAUUUGAGCUUUAAAAACAUGCGGAUCGCCCCAUUAAUCGGGUCGGGUCGCGGGUUCCCUCCCCAAAACGACCUCGUUUUGAGGCGUGUGGGGAGGGUAGUAAAACGCUGUCGUUUUACUCUGCUAUUAAAGCCCAUUUUUUUUUUUUUUAAUUUCAGCAACAUCUAAAAAAAAAUAAAGAGUUCUCAUUGCUCUCCCUUCACUCCCAUGUCUGGCGAUAGGGUUUCCCGGUGUCCAUUGCGCCGCCGUUGUGGGCUAGUGGCCGGCGUUGCGCGAAUGGGAUUUUUCCGGCUCCGAGGAGGCCAACGGAGAAGAGUAACCUCCCUUUUCUACUCUUUCGUUUUAUUUUUUUAUUCCAAAAAAAUAUAAAAGAAAACAAAAGCUACAGAUAUUUAAGAGCAAAAAUGAAAUAAAAGAGGAAUCACCUUCUAAAGUUUUGGUUUUUGAUUGAUUUUUUGUAUUAGAUUCUCUUUGUUUUUUUGUGUUUCAAAACUGACUUAAGAAAAAAGAAUAAAAAAUAAAGGAUAAAAAAAAUAAGAAACGGAGAUAAAAAGACGAGAGAAUGAAGUUCAACCUUUUUAUUUUUUGAUUGCUUAAAUCGUGUCCUUUACAAUAUUUCGUGUUUGUGGCUAUAUAGCCGAAUACAAAAAUGCUUUAGGCUAUUCCUUGCUACUGUUUUGCUUCGUUUCUGCUUUUUGCUUUCUUUUUGUUUCUGUUUUUGUAGGCUUAGAGGGUCAAUGAGGGCGAAAACAUGCCAUUUUGGUGCGAGGAAACAGCCAUCGGGCGGAGGGUACGCUGACGGAGGCACGUGGGGUGCGGCGCAACCAAGGCUGCGGCGCUGGAGUGGAUGGGAACCUUAGGGUUUCCUGAAAAUUUCAAAUAUUUUGGGCCAAUCGGGCCUUGUGAUGUUGGGCUCAGGAUUUUGGGUUGUGUUUUGGGUCUUAAUUGGGCUGAUGGUUUAGGUUAGGUGUUGGGUCUUGUAAUUGAACUGUAAAUAUUUUGGGCCUGAGCAAAAUUUGGGUCCUACAGAUAAAAUUAUUAGAAAUUUUAUUUUGAGUCAUUAUGAUGCUAAACGAUGCAUUAAUUUAAUCCAGUGGGAUGCUAAGUCUUAGGAUUGGUUUGCACACAAUAUAUUUUAUUAACAAGUAUUUUCUUAUUAAAUUCGGAUUCCAAUUGAUCUAAAAUUAAUAUAAUGCUUUUCGAGUUUUAAA
Molecule: long non-coding RNA, 55975 nt
Filed under: Gossypium barbadense (sea-island cotton)
Lineage: Eukaryota; Viridiplantae; Streptophyta; Magnoliopsida; Malvales; Malvaceae
Description: long non-coding RNA (GBAR_LNC012664)
Source: RNAcentral